Molecule: long non-coding RNA, 60547 nt
Filed under: Glycine max (soybean)
Lineage: Eukaryota; Viridiplantae; Streptophyta; Magnoliopsida; Fabales; Fabaceae
Description: long non-coding RNA (GMAX_LNC000514)
Source: RNAcentral
GUCUCCGGUCUUUAACAUUAAAGGAUUGCUUGUCAGCCGUGUCAUUUCCGGGUGGUCGUUUACCUGAAUCACUGAAGAGUCUGAGUAUCAAAGAUCUUAAAAAACUGGAAUUCCCGAAGCAACACAAACAUGAGUUACUGGAAACACUGACAAUAGAAAGCAGUUGUGAUUCACUCACAUCUCUUCCAUUGGUUACCUUUCCAAAUCUCCGAGAUAUCACAAUCACAGACUGUGAAAAUAUGGAAUAACUUUCGGUUUCAGGGGCAGAGUCAUUUGAGAGUCUGUGUUCUUUGCACAUUCAUCGAUGCCCCAACUUUGUAUCAUUCUGGAGAGAAGGAUUGCCUGCGCCCAACUUUAUUAAUUUGACCAUAUCAGAGUUGAAGUCGUUGCCUGAAGAGAUGAGUAGUCUUCUCCCAAAGUUAGAAUGUCUCGAAAUAUUCAACUGCCCAGAAAUUGAGUCCUUUCCAAAACGGGGUAUGCCACCUGACCUGAGAACAGUAUCGAUUUACAAUUGUGAGAAACUACUGAGCGGCCUAGCAUGGCCAUCCAUGGGCAUGCUUACUCAUCUCAGUGUUUGGGGUCGAUGUGAUGGCAUCAAGUCCUUCCCUAAGGAGGGUUUGCUGCCUCCCUCCCUUACGACUCUGUAUCUAUUUGACAUGUCAAAUCUGGAGAUGUUGGACUGCACGGGGCUUCUCCAUCUCACAUCCCUGCAACAAUUACAAAUUUUUGGAUGUCCAAAGCUGGAGAAUAUGGCUGGAGAAAGUCUUCCUUUCUCUCUAAUAAAAUUAACCAUGGUGGAAUGUCCUUUGCUGGAAAAACGAUGCCGCAUGAAGCACCCUCAAAUUUGGCCUAAAAUUUCCCACAUCCCUAGCAUUUGGUUUUACGGUAGAUUGAUUUAGCCACCAAGGAUGAUCAUCAGGUAUCUUCUAAGUCUAACCAACUAGAAAACUAUUUCUGUCAAGGAUAUCUUUCAUUUCAUGUCUUUCUUCUUUUACGUUUUACUAAAUCCAAUUGAUUCUGAAAUGGAAAUUGACCUUGUAUAUAUGUUACUGAAUCUACAGAGAAUCAACAAAUUAUCAAAGGCAACGUGUGAUAUCAUCUAAAUCAAAUUCACUGAAGAGUGCUGCUUUACCCCUGGCUUCGAAGAAGUAACGAUACAGGUACAAAGAAACAACAUCGAUAAAUACUUAAAUAUAAUGAUUCUCCGAAAAAAUGUUACACAUCAGUGUUGUUAUAUUCUAACUUAAUUUCUCCUUAAGAUUAUUGAGGCCAGAGUGAAAAUGACCGUGGGAAACUUAUUUUUGUUUUUCAGAUAUGGUUGAUUGGCCCGGAGAAACUGUACUUACCCAUGAAUCUAAGUUCAAAUUUGAACUAGUGCUAAAUGUAACUUUUGAUUUAAUUGACGUGAAAUUGACACUUCCUCAAUAGCUGAAUUUUUAUUUGUGAGGUUUUCGUCGGGUACAAUGUGAAGGAUGAAAAGGUGUACCAAGUGAACUUCAGAAGGAUUAGAUGAUUUCAGCUUAUCUUUUAUCCCCUGUCCUAUAAAUUAAUAGUGGUAUGAUUAUUCUAAAAAUAUGAUAGAUAUGUAGAUAUGUAAGAAUUGAUAAAAGCAUAAUAAAUAUAUAAUUGCAAUUCGGUAAAUUGAAGAACAUACAUACUUCUUAGACAUUACUAAAAACAAAAUAAAAAAAUUGUAGAUCAUUUUUUCCUAUUGCUCACAAAUAAGAAUGGUACUAUCAAUGAUCAAUCUCAUUUCUUUCUUGAAAUUAUCAUAAACAAAACAAUUUUCAUAUUUGGUUCAUCAAGAAACAAUACUUUGUAUAUUUCUAUAUUAUACUUACUUCUAUGUUACAUGUCACUAUAUUUGAUUUUCAUAAUUUUUUUAAAGAUUUGGUCACUUCACAUAUAUGUACCAGUAAAAUAUAUCAAUAUAUUGGUAUCAGAUGUAGGUGCAUGAAGCAAAUUAAAGUAUCAGUACUUUGUAGCAAAACACAUCCUUCAAAACAUGACAUGAGGUAAAAAAAUAAGAUGAUAUUUUUGUAAGUAUUGGAAAAAAAAAGUAAAGCUUCUGAAAUCAAGGAGACACUAAAUUUUCCACAACAUCCUUCAAUUUGGCCCAAGCUUCGUUUCCUAUUGACAAAUAACUGGUUGUUAGUGCCAGCCUUUUCUUGGUUAAAAUUAAAGCUAAUAUGAACCUGUCACUCCUUAAAAUUUCCACCCCAGUUUGGUAAAUAAAUAUAUAAGAGAGUGAAUAAUACAAGCCUUGCAUUCUAUCUCUAAGUUACUAGGUAUAUGAAACAGGUAUGAGUAUUUGGUUUUAGAAGGUAUGUGGUUCAUCACUAUUUAUAUUAUUACUAUAAGAACCAGGUAAUCUUUAUUAUGGUACAGUAAGUUUGGUGUGAGGUUGUAACUACGUUAUAUCCAUCUCCCUUAGCACGAUAAUUAAAUUUAAAAGCAAAAAAAUAAGAAAAAGGCCAAUCUAACAAUUGUUACCUCUCUUGCAUGACAAAAUCAGAAACAAAAACCCCACUCUUUCCUUCAAAUAGUCAUAUUUUUACCAAAAUCAUAGCAAAUUUUGCAACAAAAAAAAUAAUAAAAAUAAUAAAAUAAAUUUGCAUGAAAAACGCAAGAAAAAUUCAUACACGCAAGAAAAAUUUACCGACUAAGUUAUAUUACGUAAACAAACCUAUAUAAUAAAGAUAUAAAAGUUAUAGAAAAAAUGAGUUUGAAGGAUAAAAAAACUUAUUUUAAAGACAAUUGUUAAACAAAAUAUUUUAUAUAUAGAAAGAAGGUAAUAUUAAUGUUUAAAAUUAGCCAUAAACAUUGAUGUUAUCAAAAGCAAAAACUUAACUAUAAAGUGCAAUUUUUUUGGGCGCAUACUUGAAAUUAAAUAAUAAUAAUAAUAAAUUAUUAUAAAUUACUUUCAAUUAAAGUGUAGUUCUCUGUUCAUUCACUGACUAAUUUUUUUUUAUAAUCAGGAAAUGAAUAACUAAAAACAAACACUUAAGAAUGCUAUAUAAAAUAUUAUUAAAAACAUUUAGAAAUAAAAAAAAUUAAUAAGCAUGAGGCCUAUGCAAAAGAACGCGACUCCAAUUGGAAUUAAAAAGAGGGUUUAUAACUGUAAAAAAGGCCGUAAACAUUCAAACUAGAAGCAGGAGGUUCAUGAAUAAGAGCACUGUGCUAGUUGAGAUUAUCUGGGAUUCUAAAAGAACAAAAGCUUUAAACAUUAAAAUUAGAUUGCAAAUUAAAAAACACCAAUAUGCAGGACAUAUAUAUAUAUAUAUAUAUAUAUAUAUAUAUAUAUAUAUAUAUAUAUAUAUAUAUAUAUAUAUAUAUAUAUAUAUAUAUAUAUAUAUCCUCACCAAAGAAGAUCCGACACUGGUUAAGUGUAUUUUGUGUUUGUGUAUAUUAUAUUUUUAAUUUUUAUCCGCUAAUCUAAUGUAAUCAACUACUUUAAAGAAAUAAAAAUUAAAAACACGAUUAUACUAAUUAUUACCUGGCCUUUGGAACCGAAGUCCACUAGGAGUGUUUCCCCAAGCAAUGAAGAGACUCUAGGCUGAGAAAAGAAUUUUAAUUUCUCACCUUUUAGGAAGAAAUUGAAAUUUCACAUUUUUAGUUAUUUCAAAAUAGUUUCAUGGGUAGAAGAAGGUCAACAAAACCUUACCCCAAAAUGCGAUUCCGCUCGGUCCAUUGCGUAGAGCACGAAAAAAUGAGUGGGAUAGCGAUGUUUGAACUUGUCGUCGAUCUUAAUUUCAUAGUCGCGAGCUCUUUUCGCAAACUCUUGCUUUCAUGGUUGUCUCUUCUUGUUCACCCUUCUCAAGGGUUACCACCAACCCAGCCACUGGUCACUACUGGCACUGCCAGUCAUGCCAUUACUCGUGCCAGCUGUCACCAAUAACUUCCUUCAACUCUCAAACCUCACUUCUCUCCCAGUCUUUCUCUCACACUUGGCCCUCAAACCCACUUGUGUGUCGUAGGUGAAGAGAAGGAAAUGAUGAAAACAAAGAAGAGGGUUUUCUUUGGGGAAGGGGGAUCCAUGAGUGAUUUUUGAGAGAAGGAGAUUUAUUGUCGCUAUGGGAAGCCACGGUUCAAGAGAAGAAAAAAAAGAAAAUGGGUUAGUGUUAUUGUUGUAUUGCUGCCAUGGGGUUUCAAGGGAGGUUUGGGGGGUUUUGGAGAAACAAUAGUAGUGGUGUGGAGCUGGUGAAGGAGUUGGUCGAGGACUGGUGGGAGAGGUUUGGGGGAUUCGGGGACUUAACGAUGUCGUUUUUUACUUUUUUCUAUAAAAAAUAAAAAAUCCUAUGUGUAAUCCCACUUAGACAAAAAUCACACGUGACAUGCAUGCGUGACCGGUAAACGACCACGUAUGAAGAUAAUGGAUUCCGACUAACAACAGGAACUUCGGACAAAACUUUUCAAAUAUUAGGGACCCAUCACAAAACAAAAAUUUAUUAGGGACCAAAUACAAAAAAUGAGUAUUUAUGAUAGACCAAAAAUAUAUUUAAACCAUUAUCUAAUUAUAACUCACUAUGUGAUAACUUUGUUGACUUUUAAAAUAAUUAUUUUAAAGUAAUUUAAAGAAUAAUUUAUGAUUAGUUGACAGUGUAAAAUUAUUUUACAUCAUCAAUACAUAAGUAUUAAACUCUCUCUCUCUCUCUCUCUCUCUCUCUCUCUCUAUAUAUAUAUAUAUAUAUAUAUAUAUAUAUAUAUAUAUAUAUAUAUUCUAUUCGAGAUUGGUUGAAAUUAUCUUAUUUGCUUAACAUAUUAAAAUGCGUCAUUUUUAAUGAUAUUAUUGGUCUAUAGUUUUUAUGUAAUAUAUUUAAUGUUUUUAAAUAUUUGUAUAUAAAUAACUUUUAUCUAUUGUUUCACCCAAGCCUAUGAAAUGUAAGCAUAGGUUUGUUAAUGAGUAGCACAAUAUGGACAGUUUCCCAAAGGCCCAAGAGCAUCUUUAAUGGGAUUCUUGAACUUAAGAAUAGUGUUCACUAGAUCUACCAUUAUUCUUAUUAAGAGUUUUUCAAGAUGGAGAUUGGGUUCUAAGAAAAGAACUCCCAAGAACUCCUAUUUUUUCAAAAAUAUUAUUUUUUUUCUUGUGCUAGUAAAAUCUAAUAAUCCAAAUUAGAUUCUAUUACUAGAACAAAAAAUGAUAGAAGUUCUUGCAUCCUAUAUAACAUCAUGGGACCCACAAAAAAUAAUCCAAGAACCUAAAAUGGAUUCUAUGACUAAAGAUGUUCUAAGAAUUUCAAUAAUUUUCCAGUUAAGAAACAUAACUAUCAAAUCAAUAUAAUAUGAAACGAGUUCAAUCUUUAUUGAUUCACUUGACGCAAGCUAUAUGCACAACUGACAUAAUAGACUUUAAUUUUCAAUAACAUGCAAUAAAAAUAUAACAAACCGGUUCCGGAAAAAGCCUCCUAAAAAAGAAGCACAUUCGGUCCCCCCGCAAUUUUUACAAGUUGGGUCUUUAUGCUGUAUCAAAAUAUUCCACCAUAUCCCGCAAAUGUUGUCGUGCUAUUAAGUUUAUGUGUUAGUUGUCCCUUCAUGAUGCACGACUAACCGCAAAUGUUGAAAGUGAAUCGAUCUAAGCCUCUUUUAUGGGCUUGAUGCGUGAUAGAAGAUUGGAACAUAAUCCAAUACAUUCCAAUCUGAAUUCUGAAGCAAAAGACAACCCCUUAGCUCCAAGUACACAGUGUGUAGAGGCUAAAGAUGUACAAGAUCCGAACAUGAUCCGAUCUAGACCAGAACAAAACCUAAAACCAAACUACUAACUGAUUUAUAAUUUUUUAUACAUCAUAAACUAAAAAAACAAAGCAAACUAAGCACAUAAUCUUAGAAUCCCUACUGCAUUUACUAAAAGAGAAACAGAUACUUGAGGUGGGAAAUUUUGCCAAACCAGAAAUGAAUUAUCAUGCUCCAAAUUAACUUUGAAUGCCAACCUGCACAUACGUGUCUUCAUGAAGAGUAUGCUGAAGCUGGAUCCUCCAAUCUUGCUCCAACAGUGAGCUGAUUAAGUUGAUGAGGGUAGCAUACGUGAGGAUGAAACUUGUUGGUUAAUUACUUAAUUUCUUCCUAGGACGAGUUUAAGAGCCACUAUAGAAUCAGACUCAUAAACUAAUUGAAGCCUAGAUUCAAGGCAUGAGAGAGACCAUAAAAGAUGGCAUGGAGUUCAGCCUUGAGAUUGGUAGACACUCCACACGAUCUUGAUUUCAUAUUUUUUUCUUCUUAAAAUAACUACAUACAUAUUAAGUAGCAUGGUUUUAAAUUAUGAUUGUGAUUACAUUAUGGUGAGUCAUAAAAUCAUUUUAUAUAUUGCGGCUAAUUACGAGAAAAUACGGCUGAUGUGGUUAUUAGGAGUCCUAAUUCAUCUUAAAGCAUUAAAUUUUUUUAACUUAACAAAUAUAAUUAAAGAGAAGUAACUAAUAAGAUAAUGAUCUAAAAUUCUUGUUUUGAUUGAAAAUAGCGUAAAAAGAUGUUUCAAAGAUAAUGAUACAAACUCUUUAAAUGCAAAUGGUUACAUGCACAAAGCACGUGUAUAUACAUACACACACACACACACACACACACACACACAUGCAAACAUAUAUACACUACUAGAAAAUUAUCUUUCUCUUUCUACAUCGGUUAAAAGCGUCUUUCUACAUAGGUUAUCAUGCGUCAUCGACGUCAUUAAAACACACGCGUCUUUCUACAUCGAUUGCUUGACCGUCUUAGAAUGUCGCGGUUCAAAGACGGGUCUCAAGCGAUACUCGUCUUAGCAUUCUGACCAUUCUACAUCCGUCCUCUCAAUAACCGAUGUACAAUGCCCGAAAUUCUACAUCGGUCUUGGCCGAGAAACAUCGUAGAAUGGUACCCAUGGUAAAACAUUCUACAUCGGUUGUCCUAAUAACCGAUGUAGAAUGUCCGAAAUUCUACAUCAGUCCUGGCCGCGAAACGUCAUAGAAUGCUACUCAUGGUAAAACAUGCUACAUCGGUUUUCCUAAUAACCGAUGUAGGAUGCUUAUUUUUUUUUCCUUUUUGUUCCUGAAUGGCAAUAACAAAGCAAAUAUAAUUGAACCUAAUGUGUAUGAGACUUACUUUAUAAUUGAAUUAGGUUUUAUAAUUACAUAUAAGAAAGAAUGGCAAUUCAGUAGCAUAUGCCCUAAUAUCUGGAUUCCUAAUAUGGAAAAUCUCCAAGAUCAACUUUCUACCUUUGCUUCCAUGGGUGACCAACACUCUGUAUAUGUAUCAAAUGACCAUACUACAAAAAUCAGAAAGACAAUUAGAACAAUUUCGCAGCAUGAACAAGGACAAAGCUAUUACAUAUGUGAAGAAGAUGAGGGUGAACCAAAAAUUUUGUCACUUGCAAGGUCUGUUCCCCCCCCCCCCCCCCCUUAACCAAAUCUGAAUCCCUCAUUUGCUUCAUGAAUGACAAGUAGUAACCUCCCUUCCCAAUGUUGUUUAGAUGGAUACUCUGGCAAAUCUAAUUGAUUGAAACUGCAUAAAAAAGACUCUGUUUUACUUACUUGAAGACACAUGAUAAUGAUGAUCCAUCAAGUGAUGAAACCCAUAAAUCAAACGCACACCAAAAUGUUCAUUGAUGAUAUAUAAUAAACUAAAAAGUAAAAAAAGGGUACCAAGUAUGAGCAUAAGGCAAGUGAUUAGAACUCUCAUAUGCCUUAUGUAUCUGAAACCUCUAGGCACCUGAAAUUCCUUGAAGAGCGCUAAAACCCUCCAAAGGCACCUAAAAUUUUGGUAGCAAAAAUCAGGCCUCCUAAUUAUAUAAUACAUGUUUUAAUAAACAAAACAAGGAACCAUCGUCAUUUGAUUAUUCUAAGGGUGAUAUUCAAUAUCUUUUUUUGAGGGAAACAAGUAUAGUUUAAAUCUAAGGUCUAUAUUGAGAGGAACAAAACUAUCAGUGUGUCUUAUCUCCAUCAUAAGCCUAUUCAGUAAAUAGCAAUCACACUUCAAAACUCAUAUCACUAUAUCAGUAGUUCUACUUAUACUCUGCUUAUGUUUUCUUGUACUUGGGGAAUUGCAUUAGUAUUUACUUUUGCAAAAGUAAAAUGUAACUAAGACAUAUCUUAUGAUACAUUAGCAUUAUUUUUUGUUUUACUCCCCAAGGUACCUGAAUGAGAGGACUCUGGUCAGAAGAAAAAGGAGGAGAGGGUAUCUGAGAUAAGGCCUUAACAUGCUUGAAUGCUUUAGCCUCUGAGAAACCUGUCUCCUUUUUACUAAUGUUAGGCAUAGACACGCUGCUUGCCACUUUAGAAGCAAUUGAAACAACUUUAGAGGCUGCUGAACCACUUUAGAUUGAUAUAUACUAAUAUACUACUAACAUAAAAUAAAACUAUAUAUAACUUGCUCCAAUGAAAGACUUCUCCAUCAUCAAUACUUAAUUUAUUUUUAUCAAAAAAGAAACUUCAUGUACAAAAGGUUUAGAUAACAAAUAAUUUAAAGUAGAAUUGCUACUCAAUUUAUGUCACAAAUUCAUGUCACAAACCAUGAGUUAAAAAAUUUAUUUUUAUUUGAAAUCAUGUAUGAAUGAGUUAAACUCUUGAAACAAAUAUUAUUUUUGAACUUUUUCAUUAUAAUUUUUAUUUGGAUAAAAAAAACUUUAAACAAAUUAUAUACAUUAAUUAGGCAAUCAUACGUCUUCAAUUUUAUUCUAAAAUAGAAACAAACGGGUGAUACAGGAAAAACAAAUAUUCACAUUAUUAUUAGAAAAAAGAAAUUAAAAGUUUUUAAAAAACUGAAUAUUAAGCUUUGUGCUUAAUUUUAAUUUCCUAAUUUCAUUAAAUAACAAUCAUAUUUAAAAAAAUAUCAGUGACUUAAUGAGAAUUCAAUCAUAAUAUUUAAAUAGAAAAAAUAAUUCCUUUUGCUAAGUGUAGAGAUAAAAAUAAGAGGUGCCAAACCUUUUGCUUUACGUUGUGUGUAUGCAUUAAUUCCUCUGCACCUAGCUAGUGUAUAAUAAAUAUAUGCCUAGGCACUACUAGAGAUUUCGUUUUUUUUUUUUUUAAUUUUUUAUUUGAAAGUACUACUACUGCACUAAUAUAUAAGCUACACCAUCCAUGUAUAAUAAUGCCUUUUCAGCAUCAAGCAAAUAUCAUUAUUUUUCCUAUAUGAUUAUAUUAACUUGAUGUAAAAAAAAAUUAUAAAGAGAAUUUUUUAGAUAUGAUACCAGGGAAUUAGAAUCACAUUGGCGUUUCAGAAAAAGCAGUUACUCAUAAGAGUAGCAAUCACCUAUCAAAGAUUUAUUUAUUUUGUUAAAAAUUAUAGUAUUAGGUAAUACAAAUAUAAUUGGUUUAUGUUGAUCUAAAAAACAUCAUGGGACAAAGGUUAAAUGAAGAUCAGUAAAACAAAUUAAAUAACAACAGGCAGAUCCUUCUUCACAUUGUGAAAUUUUCUAUCUAAUGUUCACAUCAUUUAAACUUCAUGUAAGAGCUCAUCUGCCUAUAGCUCAUUUAGUUUAACAAGGUCAACUUGCCUGACAAGGGAAAAUUUUCAAUACCAGAGCAGAAACAACCUUCCAAGGAAAGAUAAUUCUCCCAAACAUAGUCGUAUGUUGUGAUACCCUGUAAAAGAAAAAGACAGCUUAGAAUAUACAUGUCAAUAGGAGGAAAAGUCGUUCAUGAAUAUACCUUUCGUAUCAGGAUCAUAUGGAAAAAGAAUAAUUCUCCCAAAGGUACAAUUGCAAGGAAUGAAACUGCUGUGCAUAUGGUCUGUUAAAGGAUUGAAAAUUAUGUAAAAAAUAGCAAUUCAUACUUUAUUGAAGCGAAAAUAACAAGAAAGAAAUUCUUGGUAAAGAACAUUAUCACUUAGGAACAAUUAACCACUCAAAUAGUUAAUGAUGUUCAAAGAUUGGAUAAUGAUAAUUACUUUAAGUUUAUGUUGAAUAAUUUUUGGCAAACACAACCAAUAAAUUUUCCAAUCAGGAUCACUAACCAACAAAAAGAACUAAUUUUUUUAAGAAAAAGUAUGUAUGAGAUUGAAUUGAAUGUUUUAUAUCAAUGCAUAUUUUGACAUUUCAAGCCAAAUAAGGGGUCCCAUCAGUAGAAAGAAUCCAUCAUUUUAAGUUAACAUGAGAUGUGCACCAAUAGAAGAUGCAAAUGAAAAAGUCUAUUGAAAACCCAUACAAGGCUCAUAGCUCAUUAUGCGUCAUUCCUGCAAACAGAACUCAUAGCAUAUACAAAAGUAGCAUUUGUCAGGUAAAGUUUAUUUCAGUUUAUCCUAUAUAAAAACGGAGAAUAAAAAUCUGUUUUAUAAUCAGCAGUCUGUUUUGUAAUGCACCUGACAAAUUUUAAAAAUAAUGAUUUUUUUUUAUAAUCAGCUGGGAACCUAAGUAUCAAACCAUAUAUAGACAGGGUGCUUAAAUUUUAAAUAUACAACCUAUAAAUUUAAAAGAGAAAAUACACAUUGAAGUCAUCAUCAUUCAAUAAUUUAUAAAAAGGUAACAAUUUUAAGAAUAAGGGUGUCUUUGACAGAAGAUAAAUAGGGAAGAAGGAGAAAAUGGAAAAGAGAUGAGAAAUGUAAAUGACAACGUUGUAAGGUUAGAAACUAAACUUAUUGACAGUUAUACAUUCAACUUCAAGAAGUAACUAAGUGUUUUAUGGCUUUACAGUUGCUGACUUGAAAUUUAUGGCUUUACAGUUGUAGGCUUGAAAAUGAAUUAACUACAUAAGGACAUAAGGAAGGAUGCAAAGAAUUCCAGCCAUCAAAAUUAGUUAUAUAUUUUAUUGUAUUAACUACAAAAAAUAACAACCACAAGCUUUUCCAUAUAGACUUUUGUAGUACCGUACGGUACACUAUUUUCUUGUUUAUGGUGGCUUAUUCCACAUAUAAUAUAUUGUGCUAAAAUAGCAGUCUAAACUUUACUAUUGUCAAGCCUUGAGAGAUGACAUUAGACAAGGCUCUUGUGCUCAACAAUCUCUGAGCAAGCAUUUCAAUUUCAAUUAUAGAAGAUUUUUCACUUAAAAAAUUAUAAAAAUAAAAUAAAAUAAAAGCACAGUAAUAAAAUUAUGUUUUCAAGUCUACAAAAUAUAUUUAAAUUACGAAGUUAGGAACAAGCACAGUAAUAAAAUAAUGUUUUUUACAUUUAUUAUUUUAAUUUAAAUUAUAAUACAAAUAAAAUAAUAUAUUGAGUUAGGAACAAGCAUAGUAAUAAAAUUAUGUUUCUUACCCACAGUGCCUCCCAGUUCAAUCACACAAACAUCUGCAGGGCCCUCCUUUCCAUCCACGGGAAUCACAACACCCUCAAUCCAAUCUUUAAUAGCAGCAGUGAUGUGUGAGACCACCUAUUUUAAAACACCAAUACCUCAUCAAACCAGUCUUUAUUAGCCACAGUCCCACAUAAUAAAAUUAGUAGCCUUAGCUGAUGGAAUAAUUCUUACAAAAAAACCAGGAACUUUAAUAAGCUUAGCAGCUGCAAUUAUUUUCGUUGUUAGCAUCAUCAGCAUUAUUUCAAAAGGCAUUAGAAUUAAAUUUCGAAGCUAACACAGAGUGCAAACCUGGAUACACAACGAGCAGGGGUUUUCUGGCCUCAUUCUGCAGAGUACGUGGACCAUUCAACCCUAUCAAUAAAUGAAGACUUCUCCAAAUACUUCUUCACCAAGCAGAGAUAGAGACACCUCUUGCAUGAUAUCUGUAAUUCAAAUAAUCCUUCUCAUGAAAGCAAGUCUCACAUUCAUAAAUUAAAUUAAACACUUGUACCAGGUCUGGGUCUUCCUUUAUUUCUUUUUCUUCUCCCAAUUAACACACACUGACUCUGUCUCUCUCUCGAACACAAUGUCAAACUCCACCACCGGCACCACUGCGGCCUUACCACCAAAGCCCACCUGGGUACUCCCAUACCAAACCGAGAAUCUCCGCGAGGUCUACACCCUAAGCUAAAAGCUCGGCAUGGGAAAAUUCGGCACAACCUUCUUCUGCACGCACAACGCCACGGGACGCCCCUUCAGCUGCAAGUCAAUCACGAAGCGGAAGCUGCUCUGCAAGGAGGACUACGAUGACGUAUGCACCACCUCUCUGAGCACCCCAACGUUGUUUGCAUCCACGACACCUACGAGGACACUGCCUCUGGGAGGCUUGCCACUGGCUUGGGGUCAUGCAUAGGGAGACAAAUAAAAAAAAAGAUAAAAAUAUAAAGAGUGAGAAAGAGUCCGCUAGCAUUCCUGAAGCGCUCAUUCUACAUCAGUUCUACAAGAAUCGAUGUUGUAAUUCAUUUUCAAAGACGUCUUUGAAAUUUUAAAAUUAUUUACAAAAUUGUCAAUAUGUACUUACAACAUCGAUUUUUUACAACCGUCGUAAAACCCACAUCCUAAAAAGCCAUUUUUCUGAUAGUGAUACAUGGAUGCAUAUAUAUAUGCACAUACAAACAUAUAUACAUCUGGAUAGAGAUAGGAUCAGAAUAGCAGGACAAAGACAAACAAACUUGUAUUUGUUGCUUCCAUACUAGAAUUGUAUUUUCUUCAGGGUUAGAUGCAUCAACUGUGUGGAAGGGAAAUUUAUUAACAGCGCUAAGUAUUCUCCUAACCUUAAGCAAGAUCUCCUUCUGGUCUCUUGCCAUCUUAGCUUGCAUGUCAAUGUUGAAAAACCUGACAAGCGAGUCCACAAGUGCCUCAAGUUGUUCCUGGUAACAAAGUUUUGUCACAUUGACGGAAAAAACCAAGGUUGCGUUGGUUGGUCAAAAAAUAGCCCUGACAAGAUGUUGGUAAAAAAAUAUCAUUAGUUGAUAUCGAUCACAAACAUCAUUGACUAAGGUUGACAAAAAAAUUUCUAACCGACGUUGGUCAAAAAUUAACUUUGACCGAUGUCGAUCAAAAGAAACCUAACCGAUUUCGACCAACAAAAAUAUUUUAUAUGAUAGCCUUUGGUUGCAAAAAGUGUGAACCAGGGGGUAUUUUGACAGCCGUAAAACAUAUCUCAUGGCAGUGGUUGUUAUAUAAGGCAAAAAACCAUGAACUUUCUUCUGUUGCUGGUGUUUGGAGACACUUCAAAUGUGAUUGAUGUUAGAGAAGUUAACUGUGGCAUUUUUUAGGACUGAAAGUUAACUUAGGAGAAACCAUUUUUUUAUGUAUGUAAUACGGUAACACAUGUACCUCUUGCACAGAUUGGGGAGAAAUUGCAACUUUUUUUUUACAUUUUGCCUUAAAAAAAAGUGUUCAUAUUUAUAAAAAUAAUUUUCUAUUUAACUUGGAUAUUUUUUCUCAUACCACUACACUAAGGUAUAUACAACCUAAUUAAGGCGUGUUUCUUAAUUUGGAGACUGAUUCUUGAUUGAUUGACUACCAACGAAGGAUAAUCUAAAAAGGAGAAACAUCAUUUAUAAUCCUCAUGAGUGCUUAUGUCCCUUUUGCCUUGAGGUAGAUGAGUCGGUCUCUCACUGUUUCUUCUCAUGUCAUAAAAUUCUUGGUAUUAAUUUGGAGGCAAUGUUACUCUUGGCUGCUGGCUGCAUGUAAAUGUGGUGUUGCCACAAUGACCAGAAUCACAUUUUUGGCAAGAUUCUGUAUUCGUAAGUUCAAAGAAGGAGGCAGAUGUAUGGAGGGCGGUGUGGGCAUAAAAAAUUUUGGGGUGUAUUUUUUUUUUUUUGGUGAAUGUCAUUUUGGUGUGUAUGGAAUGCUAGGAAUGAGUGUAUGUUAAGGAAUUAAUGGCUCUUUUAAUGCUGAGAAAAUUAUGCAGAAUAUAUUAUUCUUUGCAUGGUCGUGGAUUAAUAAAAGCCAGAGUCCCUAAUUUUAAUUAUUGUUUUACUUAAUGAUCUAUGGCACCUGGAGCUUGUUUCUUGAAGAGACAAUUUUGAAUGAAAUGUGAAGUUAACUUGAUUCGGUGGUAGCUGCUCUUCGAGUGGGAUCAUCCCAAAUGCAACCGAUGUUUAUGUGCACGAUGGUGGGGGCUGGUUAGUGAUGCCGCAUCAAUUUUGCAUGGCUUUAGACAUGAUUUUAAAUUGCAAUUCUGAUUGCGUUGCAUGCAACGAACCUAAAAAUCUUACAUUGUGAUUUGUGGAUAAUUAUGGAAAAAUACAACUGAUGUGAUCAUAAUUAUAAUUGUGAUGUGAUUACAGAGUCAAAAUACAUUAGCGUUAUGACUGCAAUUAGGUUGCUGACUACAAUUUAAAACCAUGACUUUGGGUGUAAUGGUCCAUGUUCGAAGCUAGCUAUCUUUGUCGAGAUAGAAAUAUAAUCUAACCAUGGAAUUUGCUUUCUUUCUACUGUCACUGGUGUAUAUGUUUUUGGAUCUUAGGUACUUUUGGUACCAUUUAAUACAAAUCAUUUUGUUGGAAAAAAAACUACGGUAGCCUACAUGCAAUAUACAAAAUAAAAUUGAAUUACUAUAUAUUAUCAUAAAUAGUAGAGUAUAAGAAGUAAAGAAAAUUCUAAAGAUAAACAUGAAUUUAAUAACAUAUGAAACUAAUAUAUAUAUAUAUAUAUAUAUAUAUAUAUAUAUAUAUAUAUAUAUAUAUAUAUAUAUAAUAAGAGAAUGUUUUAACUAUAUAUAUAACAUAUUUAAUUAGCUUAAUAGAAAUGCGAAAGUACAAUAAAAAAGCAAAAACAUAAUAGGCGUGACAAAUCGGUUGCUAAUAUACAAUAAAGACAACAAAGUUUGAAACUAAAACCUUAUCCAGACUAUCCAAAUAACCCUAAUUAAUCAUGCAAAAAUUAGAACAGAAGAAAUUUAAUAACUAUAGCAACAGUAACAGCAGCAGCUAUAGCUAAUGCCGCGAUCACCGAAUCGGAAAACUUUUCAUCAUUGAAGUAUUCUAUUUCACUAACCCUAAGCAAGAUCUCAAGUUGAUCGCGUGCAAUAAGAGCUAGCAUUUCAAUAUUGAAAAACCUCUCAAUUGAGUCUGCAAGAUCUUUAAUUUUAGUUUUCCACGGUAAGAAUUCUUAGCCACAAAAUUGUAUUUCCCUAUUUUUGAACACUUGUAAACAACCUCUUUGCUCUUCCUCAAUAGUUGUAUCAGUGGCUCAAGUUCCUGCUGUGAACGGCCCAACAUAUUCCUGUACUUACCUAUCUCCUGCCAUGUUUACCGCUACAUAUUUUCUAGAAUGUUAUUUGAAUUUCAUUAAAAAUCAUAAGAAGCAAGUUUGAAUUUUUCAGUGAAAUUUUUACUUAGGUUUAGUUAGAAAACCCUAUUUAAAAGCUAUAUUGUUUUGCUUAUCGAAACAAAACCAAUUAGUUCGGUUUGAAUUUCUUAGUUAAUAAAUCAAUUUUAUAUGAUUUUUUUAUACAAAAUAUUAAACUCAAUUUACUAAAUAAGAUUUAUAUCAAAUUCAUGAAGGUAAAAGUAAUAUUUUUAUCUUUUAAUGUAAGGCUUGGUUUCACUUUUCUCCUUUAACUUUUUUUAUUUGAUUUAUUUCAGUGAUCAUUUAAUAUUUAUGGGAACCAAACCAAUUAGUUUGGUCUGAAUUUCUUAGUUAAAUCAAGUCCGGCAUAAACCAAUUGAGCUAACCCUAGGUUAAUUGUUUCAAAGGUCGGGUUGACUCUCUUUAAACUUGAGGAUCCGUUCUGCAAACCGAAGUAUCUUAUUAUUUAAAGAAUAUCUAAUAUUUUUUUGUUUUUACAUUAUUGUUGAAUCCAUUUUAUAUGAUUUUUUUUUACAAAAUAUCAAACUCAAUUUACUAAAUAAGAUUUAUAUCAAAUUCAUGAAGGUAAAAGUAAUAUUUUUAUCUUUUAAUGUAAGGCUUGGUUUCACUUUUGUCCUUUAACUUUUUUUUAUUUGAUUUAUUUCAGUGAUCAUUUAAUAUUUAUGGGUUCUUCCUUAAGGAAUCUUGAUUUUCCUAUAGUUUUAAUUGUUCUUCGGUUAUUUAUUCCGAAAUUGAGAGGGGAUCAUCACCUCCAAAGAUUUCCUCGCUCCCAUUAACAAAAAUGUCUAAACAAUUACCUUCCGUCUAAAAAUUUUGUAAAGUACCUCCACUAAUUAAACUCAACAUAUUCUCCCAUACUUCAUUUUCUUUGAAAACAAUGUUGUCUAAUUCAAGACGCUUCGAUAUAAAAUAUUUAGUCGCUAGAACGAGAGAAAAAAAAAUUGAAUAAAAAGAAGGGAUUUUUUUUCUUCUUAACGUACUUCAUGCUACUUAUUUGCUGGCAAUCAUUAUUAAUAUAUAUUAUCUAAUAUGAGACAAUUUUCAACAUUUAAAUGUUAAUUUUGUAAGUAUCUUGGUAGUAUCCUUUUCUGAUAAGGAAUAGAUAUUAUUUUGAGAUUAUAUUAUGAUGAUGAAUUGUCUCAUAAAAACACGAGGCAAGCACUUGAAAGGAACAAAUUCUCUAAUUUCUUAGUGGGUAGUGGGAGAGAGGAAGUAAACUUGCUUCAAUAUGCAAAUGACGCAUGACGCACUCUUUAUAGGAGAAGCAACACUUUCUAAGGUGCUUACCAUAAAAAGCAUUUUGAGAGGCUUUGAACUUGUCUCGGGCCUCAAAAUGAAUUUCCAGAUGCUUUGAACUUGUCUCGGGCCUCAAAAUGAAUUUCCAGAUGCUUUGAACUUGUCUCGGGCCUCAAAAUGAAUUUCCAUCAAAGCUUUUGUGGUGCCUUGGGAGUGGAUAUUGAUACCUUGAUGAAUUAUGCAAGCUUGCUUAUUUACUUGAGACAGACUAUAUAUGCACAACUGACAAAAUAGACUUUAAUUCUAAAUAGCAAUAAAAAGAUAUAUAAUAAACCUGUUUCAGAAAAAGCUUCCUCAAAACGGAGGCUACUUCAAUCUAGUACGGUAGUUGACUUACUAAGUACGAAACAACAAAUUAAUGAGACUGCUGACUACUGAUUUCAUAGAAAGAUUUAGGAAGAUGAGGAGUAAGAAAUGUAUGGUAAAGCUUCUAGGAGUAGAAUAUGUUACUAUGUCUUAAAGUAAAAAAAUAUUUAUGUUUAAAAGAUGAAUUAUGAUUCAUAAUUAUUUUAAUUAAAUAUAAAUAAUAAAAGUUAUAUAUAAUAUAUUAUUGGAUCAUAAUUUAUAAUUUUAUGUUUGUAUUUUCAGUCAAUACAUUUAUAAAACAAUUUAGCAUAACAUUUAUGAACUAAAUUUAAAACCUUUAUUUAAUAUUUUAAUAUUCUUUCAUUAGAAACAAGUUCCGGUAUAGGAGUUGGUAUCCUUUCAAAUGAUAUAAAGCAAUAGAUUUAAAUUUUAUAUUCUAUUUUAUUGUGUCAAAAUAAUGUAUUAAAUUCUUUGGUAAAAGACACUAUAAUUUUAAGUUAUUAAGUUGAUAAUUAAUUAAACAUGAUUUUAAAUACUUACAUAUUUAUUCACUUAUAACUAUAAAGAUUUAGUAAGAGCAUAAAUAAAAAAUGUUGUUAUAAUAUAUAAUUUUAAAUUUAAUAUAAUAAAAAUGUGUUAGCAAAAUAGAAAUAUAAACAUAAAGCGUGACAACACAUGUUUUUAGUUAAUAAUAAUAAUAAUAUUAAUUACAAAUAUUAAAUAGGUUUUGACAAAAUCAUACCUGGCGCAAAUAUGCAGUUUAGUGACGGAAUUAAUUUGUGAUUCAUGCAAUACAAUUUGUACCAAUCAUCAUCAUCAUCAUAAUCUCUUUUUCGUUUUAUUUAUCAAUGUUGCUACUUAGUACGAAAAUUAUUUGCACAAAAUACAAACAGAAUGACGCUAUCUGUUAUGAAAAGUAAAUCCACACGAAUUACACGAAACAUAGAAUGGAAGGUUAUGAUUUUAUAAAAUGAAUAUCGAUUAAAUUUAAAUGUUAUGGUAAUUUUAAAAUAUGAAUGAUAAAAUGAUUCAAUUAUUAUACUUUAAUUUGUAAAUAAAAAUUGAUUUUUAUAAUAUUUAAAGUUUAUAAAUAAUAUUUUGAAUAAUUUUAAAAAUAAAUUAAUUAAAUUAAAUGCAAAAAACUGAAAUUAAAUAUUGCUUAAAACUAAUUAAUUAUUAUUAUAUCAUCUGCUCCAUUAUAAUUGUUGUGUAAAAAAUAAUAAUUCUAAAAUAAUUUUUAUUUUUAUUUUUUAAUGUAAAAUUAAUUAUGUUUUUUUACUUAUAUUUCUUAUAUAUGAAUGAUGAACUACAAAAUUUAAAAAUAAGUUAUUGAUGAUAUAAAGUUAAUUUUAUAAAAUUAUUUUUUAUUUUUUUAUUUAUAUAAAAUAAUGUAUGAUGAUAAUUAUUUUCAGAAGAAAAGCAACACUUUUCUAAGAUAAAUUGUUAUAGAUGUUUAAUAUUAUAUUUUGCUUGUAAGACAAAAACAUACUAACUACUAAAUUAUCUAAUUUAUGUAUAUUUUUAGUCCUUUGCAUAAUCGGGCGAUAACUUAUCAUAUGAAAGAAUACUGAUGAUGAUAAAUACUUUUUGAAGAAUAAUAAUUUUUAUGAAAUAUUUGAAUUAGUUUUACAUUAAGAGUUUCUAAUGAUCUUAAAAUGAUUAAAUGUAUUAUAUUAUAUUUAGUAAUAUACUUAAAAAUUUAAAUAUUGUUGUAAUUUUAAAAUAUGAAAGGAUAAAAUAAUUGAAUUAUUUUACAAUGGUAUUUCAAAAAAAAAAAAAUAGUUAUACUUUUUUUUUUAUAAUACUAGUAUAUGUAUAAAAUAGAAGAAGAUAGAUAAAUAAUACUACAAGUUAUAUCCAAUUACUACAAGUACGCACCGAUCAAUUUCAAUAAAAAAAAAAAAAACAAGGUGUGAGUGAAGUCAACAAUUAAGCUAGAAAUGAAGUUCGAAGAAUCAUCGAUUUUAAGAUUGCAUUAUAUGCUAAUAAUUGGGCUGACUAUAUAUGCCCAACAAUUAAUGUUGUUUUCGUUGUUGUGCUUGUCUAGUGAAUGAUGGCAGAUGUUGUAUUUCAAGGUAUGGGAACUGCGUGGCAAUUUCUGAACGUGAUUAUGGUCAUAAAAGACAAAGUUACGUUCAAAACAGCAUUGGAAAACGUCCAAUCCUUUCUAAUACGCAGCUUGUUUCUGAUUGUUCCAAAGUCCACUGCUUAAAUUUUGUGGCCAGGUAUCGUUACAAUGCUAAACUAAAGGCAUUUACAAAGUCAUUUCGGAAUAUUUACUCCACGGUCAUGUUAGCUCAGAUUGCAAGAGAUCAAAAAGAGAACCGUAGGAGUCAAAUACUACUUGCCUACAAUAAUCCUGCUCAGUCUCAUAAGAUUCUAAGUAUUGUUGAUAUAUAUUAAUAUUAAGGGUCUAUCUGGAUAAAUGUAUUUAGAAGUACUACUAAAAAAAUCCAUCUCAAAGCAGAAAACGCCCUUAUUAGCUUCACAACAAAGACAGAAAUCCACCUCAAAAACAUUAACAGCGUGUUUUCAAUUGCCUCCCCAGGGUCGAAGCACGUUUUCUCAACAACCCUAAGUAUUCUCCUAACCUUAAGCAAUGUCUCCUCUGAUCUCUAGCAAUCUGAGCUUGCAUGUCGAUGGCAAAUAGUUUCUCGAGCUCGUCGAAAAACCGGUCCAGUUUGUCCUUGUAACAAGCCCUAGUCACAAAGUGUAGCCACCGGAUUUUUGAACACUCGAAAACAAGCUGUGUCCCCUCCUCCAUCUUUCUGAUAAACGAUUGGAGUUCCUCCUUCGGAAGCUGCAACUCGUUGUUUUGCUGUUCUAUCUCCUUGAUCACCGGAGAUAUAGCUACUAGAGUGGAUAUUGGAGGUGCACCAAAGAUGAUUUGAAGCAAACCGUUUGGUUUUUAAAUUCCAAAACGGUUCCCAGCAACUCGUUGAACACAACUCCCACUGUUGCUUCUAUUAGUAGUGCCAUGAUAUUCACAACAGAAACACACACCCACAAGGAUGAAAACAAGAUGAAGAAAUAAACCUCUCUUUAUAAUAUAUAGAGUCAGGUUAAACGUAAUGUUAAAAAGGAAGUUUCUUGGAACUCCAUUUCUAUCCUGUUGACUUUACGAACUUGUAGCUAGGUAUACUUGUUUGUAUUAUUUACCGACUUGAACAUAUUUUAAUUAUUUAUUUAAUUUCCUGAAUAGUUAUAAUUUCCUGAAUAGAUGCGAGAUGCCAAAUCUUGUUCCACCCUCCAACCCCAAGAAUAAUUAAUAGUUAAGUGUGAAAUAGUAUGUGUGUCUAUCUAUAUAUAUAUUAUAAUUUUUUUAUACAAUUAUCUAAUUAUAACAUAUUAUUUAUGUGAUAAAUUUAUUAAUUUUUUAAAUAAUUCAAAUGAUAAUUUAUAAUCAGAUGACCGUGUCAAAUUAUUUUAUAUCAUCAACGAAUAAACAUUAAUCUCUCUCUCUCUCUCUCUCUCUCUCUCUCUCUCUCUCUCUCUCUCUCUCUCUCUCUCUCUCUCUCUCUCUCUAUAUAUAUAUAUAUAUAUAUAUAUAUAUAUAUAUAUAUUCUAAUCAAGGUUGGUUGAAAUUAUCUUAUUCACUUAACAUAUUAAAAUGUGUCAUUUUUAAUGAUAUUAUUGGUCUAUUUUAUGUAAUAUAUUUAAUAUUUGUAUAUAAAUAGCUUUUAUCUAUUAUGUGACCCAAGCCUAUGAAAGGUUAGCACGGAUAUGCUAAUGAGUAGCACAACAUGUAUAGUUUGCCAAAAGCCUAAGAGCAUCUUUGAUGGGGUUCUUGAUUGAGCUCAACAAUCCCUGUGCACUAAAACUACCAUUAUUCUUAUUCAAGAGUAUUUCAUGAUGAAGGUUGGAUUUUAGGAGAAGAACUCCUAAAAUUCCUUUUUUUUUUGUGCAAGUAAAAUCUAAGAAUUCAAAUUGAAUUUUAUCAUUGGAGCAAAAAAUGAUAGAAGUUGUUGCAUUCUAUAUAGCAUCAUAUGACCCAUAAAAAAUAAUCCAAGAAUCCAAAAUGGAUUCUUUAAUCAAAGAUGCUCUAAGAAUCUCAAUAUUUUCUCACUUAAGAAACAUAACUAUCAAAUUAAUAUACUAUGAAACGAGUUCAAUCUUUAAUGAUUUACUUGAGACAAACUAUAUGCACUACUGGCAUAAUAGACUUUAAUUCUAAAGAACAAUACAAAGACAACAAACAUGUUCCGGAAAAAAGCUUCCUCAAAAUGGAGGCUACUUCAAUUUAGAACACUCACGUGAAGUGUAUUGUAUAACAUGUCUCCUUAGGUCAGAAUGAGAGCUUUUUAUUCGUGCUUGAAGCAUGCCCCCUUCAAUUUUUACUAGUCGAGGUCUUUAUGUUGUAUCAAAAUGUUCAAUCAUAUCCAGCAAAUGUUGUUGUGCAAUUAAGUUUAUGAUAGUUAUCCCUUCAUGAUGACUAACUGUCGUACCAUAAACAAUUCGUUAAUCCCUUACUUUUGCUAGCGAGAAAAUUGUUGCUGCAGUCCACUGUAAUAUCAUCUGUUGUGAAAAGUUUUGCAACGAUAUUUAAUGUCACUAUCACUCUUAACACUUUCGCAACAAAAACUUCUACUACUUGAUAACUAUGAAAAUUGAGUUUAAUUGAUAGUCAAAUUUAACUAAGAAUGAUUAGAAUUUUUUUAUUUUAUUGUUGUUUUUAAUAGAAUAAUGAGGAUUUUAAUAUCAUUUUAAUUCUUCUUUCAAGUUUUUAAUUUCUCUUCCUCGGUAAUCUAGAUUCCAUAAGAUACUUCUCGAAGUGCAGCUAUGAUAUUUUUUUUUUGUUUUUUUUUUUGUAUUUUACCAUUCUUUUCUUAAAAUUAUCAUACAUAAUUAUAUAUGCUAUAUACUUGUUGAUAGGGAAGAAGAUAAAAGUUGGUUUUCGAGGACCAGGGCCUCCAGUGAGAAAAGAAUAAGGGAAGGAAUAAUUGUAUAUUCCAUUGAUUGAUGUUGUUAUUACAUAGUAUUAUUUAUACUGAUUUCUCAAUAAUCAAAUUUGUCUUUUUGUGCUAUAGAAUAUCAGGAAAUGGUUAAGUUUGUCUACCCCUACACGACCAGCAUCAUUCUUCCAGUACAGUGGCGGAUCCACCCUAAGUCAAUUGGUACAAAUUAUAAAAAAUAAAAUCAAUGAGUUCAAUUAUAUAAAUUUAGAUGAAAUAAACUAUAAAAAUAUAAGAUUUUAUUUACAAAUUUGGUGAAUUUUAAAAAAUGAGGGGGUGCAAGUGCACGCCCUCAGAUGGCUGUAGGUCCGCCAUUGCUUCGAGAUAUGGUGCACCUGCUUGCAAUCCUUGAGGUAAGUGGGCCUUGUAAUUGCUCUCUUGGUCUUGUUUUCUAAUUGCACCCUUGCUUCUGUUGCUUGCUUGCUGCAUUCUCAUCCUCUGUUUCUGCAACAGGUUCCUUUGCUACGCUAUCACUUGUGGGGCCGUUUUUGGCUUUUCCAGUCUUCCCAAGUUCCCACUGAUUCAAAUUCCAAAAGUUCUGCAAAUAAAAUUGAAGAAGAAGCUAGAGGUGGGAAAUACUCAAGUCAUUCUCUUGAAAAAGUUGCAGCAAUGAUAUGCAACAAAAUAUCACUAUACGGAGUCAAGGUAAUUAUUGUGUUCACAUGAACAUUUCUCCCAUGAAAAUAUAUAUUUUCUGACUUUGUAAUCUCUUUAGAGUAUGCAUGGAAAAUUAAUUUUCUGAUUUUUUUCUCUAUAGUGUUAUAUAUUAUUUUUAAUCACAUUUUCUUAUUUAUUUAGUUUGUUUCUGAUUUGACAUCAUGCGAAUUUGGAGAUUUGGGUUAGAAAUGUUUUUGGAAUUUUCCUGGUUAGAACUUGAUAGGUCCAUAAUGAAGGUAUAUAAAAGGAUAGGGAAAAGAGGGGGAGGGGAAUAGAAAAAGAAAGGACAAAUGGUCCUCAAAAACAAGACCUGCUUGUGUAUGACAGCAGAAAGAAUAAGCCGUACAAGUUGCACUAGCUGAAGUGGAAAAGGAACAUAGGUUGGCAUAAUGGAAUGGAUAGCUUGUAAGGAGAGUGUACGUAGAGGCUGAGAAUAAGCUCUUCCUUAGGAAAGGGAGGGGGUCUGGGUUUGUUUUUUCCUAAUUACCAUUCUCAACAUCUGGCUUGUAUCCGCCACUCCCCUUCUCUCUGAGUCCUAUUUUUCAUACCUGGAAGCCUAUUUUUUUUUAAUAUAAAUAUAAAAUUAUGGGAAUAUCUACCUGUCAAAAUUUAAUAUAAUAUAUUAGUAUCUAUUAUUUAUUUAUUUUAUUGGUUUUAUUUAGUAAAAAUCACCCACUUUUCUUUCCGCAUACAUCUUUGACAUAUAUGUAAGGACAUUGAAAUCUUUAAUUCAUUAAUAUUAUAUUUUUAGGAAUAAAUUAGCAUGUAUUCUUUCUUUAAUUCUAUGCGUAUGGGUUAACCAAUAUUCAAACUCUAGACCAUUUAGUUAAAAAAUACAAGUCAUUACUAUUUGUGUCAAUCAUUAUUGGUACAAUGCACAAGUUUAAAAUCUAGUUAGAUUUGUAAAGAAAUGUUAUGUUACAUUUCAAAUGACUUCUGACUUUCUUUGGUAGCUAAAAAACUUGUUUAACUAUUUGAUAAACAAGUUUUUUCAAUAAUUUUUAACAUUUUUUAAAACGUUACUUAAAUUAAUAUUUUUAAAAAUACUAGUUUCUAACAUUUUAUAUUUUUUUCUUAUUUUAUCUUUAAUAUAUAAACUUAAAUCUUGAAUUAGUUAGAUACAAGACUAUAUCCAAUCCCACUUAACUAACCUCAAGAAAUUAGAUGUCUUAUAUAAUUAUUAAAUUUAUUUAAUACACGUCUUUCAUUUUGUAAUGAUAAAAGAUUUACUGAUAAUAAUGCAUUCCUUUUAUAGUAUUAAUUAUUUUAUUUCUAUUAUGACAUUAUUUUCUUACUCUAAUUUUUAAAUAUUUUUACUUCAUAAUAAAUAUAAGAAAUGUAAUAUCAAAUAUUAUAUUAAAAUUAAAAUAAUUUUAAUACGAAUAAAACAAUUAAUCAUAUUUCUAAUUUAUGCGUUAUGUUUUUAAGCUGAAAAAUAAAAUUAACUGUAAAGAUUUGGGUUUAGUUAAAUUUAUUCGUAAUUGAGUUUAGAAGGAGUAAAUUGAAAUACACUUUUAAAUUAAUAUUUGAGUUUCUCUAUCAAAAAAGGCUAUUUGAGUUUUAUAUUUUUAUUCCGACGUCAAAUUCUUUGAUAUGUAUAGACUAUAUUUGAGAUACUUUUCGCUUUGAAUUUCUAUCACGCUCUGAGAAAUCAAAUAUAUAUAUAUAUAUUUCUCUUGAUCUUAACUUUAAAGUUUAAAGUGAUAUGAGAUUUUUACACAUACUAAAACAAUUUUUUCACAAAUAAUGCAUCCAUUGAUAUCCUUGUCUUUGGGUUUCGACAGCAAUCUGCGUACAUCUGGUGCAAUCCAGUUAGGAAAUUUGAACUCUCCCCUGCCAAUAGAACAUACAAGAUCAUAACUCCUUCUGUUUAUCACUUCCGGAGCAGCAUAGGCAGGGGCACCACAUGUAGUGUGGAGUAAUCCAUUUAUAUUCCCAUUUUCAUCCAGUAGAAGAUUUUCUGGUUUCAGAUCACGAUGGCACACACCUCUGCUAUGGCAGUAGUCAACAGCGCUGAUCAAUUGCUGAAAUUAUCUCCUAGCAUCAUCCUGCUUGAGCUUUCCUUUGGAUACCUUAUUGAAGAGCUCACCACCUUUUACAUACUCCAUAACAAAGUAAAUUUUGGUUUUGCUGGCCAUUACCUCGUAAAGCUCAACCACAUGUGGAUGCCUGGUUAGCCUCAUCGCUGAAAUUUCGCGCUUAAUCUGAUCAAUCAUCCCAACUUUCAGAAUCUUCUCCUUGUCAGUAAUCUUAAUGGCCACACUCAUGCCAGUUAUGAUGUUCCUAGCAUGGUAGACUUUUGCAAAGGUUGAACAAGGAUAGCUCAGAUGGAGGCACGGACUCAUCAGCCUCGGUGAAGGAAUUCUUAACUGUCAAGCACAUCUUUCAGCAUUCCCUGAUUUUGGUGAUGACACUAGAGAACAAUGAAGAAUAUGGACUUCUUGGAAUGUUUGAAGAAUAAUUAAGGAAUGAAGCAGCACCUGGUUAGCCUUCCAAUUACCCAGCAGCAGAAUAUACAAUGAAAGACACACCUGAAAGAAAGAUGAACAAAUUUAAUAAGUUGGGAUGAUUGUCAGAGAAUAUAAUCUCCUGAAUGAAAUUCUUGAAACUUCUACAAACAUAACCAGCAUAACAAUUUUUAUAACUUGUUUCUGAUGUCAUUUUUGAACAAUCCCAAAACCAUAAGGCAUUAGGUGAGUUUUGAUCAUAUUUAAACAGGACUGGAUUAAAAAACAAAGUAUUUAGCACAUCAAUUACAUUUCUCUCAGGUAGUCUAGUCGUUUUUAGAGUUCUUAUAAAUAAACGAUUCAUGACCAAGAAGAACAACACAAGACUAAACAAGUAUGACAGAAAUGUAAGAUUGUCAAAAAUCAAGAAUAAAUCGAAACCAGAGAUGGCCACACAUUAUGCAGAAGAAAUAAAAUUUAAUCAAACAAUCAAUCAGCAGAUGGCAGAAAGCACACUAAUACAACAAAAUACAUCAAUAAUGAACUUGAGAUUCAUAAAAAAGGAGCAUGCAAACAAGUGAGACCUGCAUUCUGUUUUGAAUUACAUAGACAAAUCAAGUCAUUCACACUCAUCUGCCCAAAUUAAUCGUCUAAAGUUGGGAGAGUUUAAUGACACUCGAGAAGAAAAUGAAAAUUCAGUAAGGUUUCAAAUAAGCAAGUAUAAAUAUAACUGAGUUGCCACCGUUUUCAGAUGAAUGUGGUUCCACUUUCCAUUACAAUCGUUACCGUUUGGCAGUCUAUCUACCAAUUUUCAUGCUUGGGUCACAUGCACUAAGUUAUUGUCAAUACAUAUUGGCAACAAAUUAAAAUUUUCCAGAUGAAAAAAAAAGGAAAAAAUUUACAAAUUUGCCGAUAAGAGAAAAAGGCAAAUAAACACAAACACCCCUCUCACCAAGAGAGAGCUUAACUCAUGAAAAUAACAACCAUCCACCUAUACCAGAAUUUGGUUUUAAAAUAUCAUAAUUUUGUACUGUUUAUUUUUAAACAUGUUAUUAUUUGUAAAAAUUGACCAAAGGUGCACUUAGAUCUUCUCAUGCUACACAAAAAUCAAGUUUAAUAAACAUUAAGAAAUAUUUGUUACAUUUAAUAAGGGAGAUUUUCAUAAUAAAAAAAAUUCUGAAUUUCAAUAAAAAUACAUUUGAUGAUCUAUUUUUUGUAGUAUAAAAUCUUUGUAUAACAUUAGAAAUUAUGAAAUGUAAAGUCAUAAAAAGGAAUAUUGAUAUACUCUAUAUUGUUUCUAAGUUUUUUACUAUCCACUUUGUAGUAGUAUUGAAUAAGUAAAAUUCUAUCAAAAUCUUUCACACAAAUAAAAUCAGGUGAAAUCUCAAUAUUAUGAUUGGGCAAGAUUUCCCUCAUGAAUGAUAGAAUCUGAAUUUUAUUUGAUUCUUGCUUGCUGGUUGAUUUUUUCUUAAGAAUUUAACAAAUAUAUCUUUUAUAUAUAUAUAUAUAUAUAUAUAUAUAGAUUUUAAUGCAUUAAUAUACUUAGAUUAGAUACAUUAAAUUUCAAAUUUCUGUAACAACCUUUGUGAAUUAUAAGGAAAGUCUGGUCAACUAAAUAAGCUAAUUUACACUCAUGCAUACAAUCACUUCAAAGAAAAUGACUAUUUACCUUUUUUUUCAUUUAUUUUAUUACUACAUUUAUGAAAAUUAUAUAUAUAUAUAUAUAUAUAUAUAUAUAUAUAUAUAUAUUUCACUUCUUUUACUUCAUCUUAUUAAAAAAUGUAUUGUAUUUCAUUUUUUUAUUUUUUUUAGUGAAAUACACUUUAAUACUACUUAUUCAUAAAAUAAAUAAAAUGGAAUACUUUUAGAAAGUGUGUUUGAUCUUUGUUUUAAGAGUAUUGAUUAAAAAAUUAAAAAAAGAUUUGUUUUAUUAACAAGACUCUAACAAAUAUUUAGGAGAAGAGAUGAUACUUAGCUGGAUUCUACUAAGCAAUAGGGGUGGAAAUAGGUCAGGCAAGACUUUAAAAGGCCUGAGCCUAGUCUACGAUGAAUCUUUGAGGUCUGAGUCUGACCUAUAGCCUAUCAAAAACUUUUAUUUUAGCUCAGCCUGACCUUUUUAAAAGCCUGGUGUGGCCUGAUAGCCUUUUUAAAAGCCUUCUUCACAAUAAAUAUUUAAUAUUUUAUGGAGUAAGAACAUAAUAGGAAAGUUAAAGAAAAAGGAAAGUCAAUCAAAAUAAUGAGGAAUAUAAAAGGACACCGUACUCACACCUAAAUUGUAAUUAAAGUUCUUGAUUAUAGGAAUAAAAGUUAUGGAGUGUAAUCAAAGUCUGAUAGUUUCAAAAAAAAAAUUAAUUGUAUCCAAAAAAUAAUAUUAUAUAUUGGUACCCAAAAAAUAAUAAUAUAUAUAUAUAUAGGCCGGCCUAUCAAGCUUAUAAGGUUUUUUAAUAAGCCUAAGUCUGAUCUGUUUAAUCUAAUAGGCUUUUAAAAAAGUCUUAGUCUAACCUUUUAAUUAAAUAGGCUAGACUUUAUGUAGGUCAGGUCAUAGGCCCCUGUAGGCCGGCUUAGCCUAUUCCCACCCCUACUAAGCAAGUACUCUUGUAAGGUUUUGUUUGGUAGUACAAAAGAUAAAAAUAAUUGUGAGGAGAAAAAAUAAGUUAGAGGAUAAAUAACUUCAAGACUUUAACAAAUAUAUAAUUUUUUAUUAUUAUUAGAGUUAUAUCUAUUUAUAUUAUAUGUAAAGAAAAUUUGAAUUUUUUUGAGUUGUUAGAUCGAGAUUUUAACGACAUAAUAAUCAUUAAUAUGAAGUUCACUUAAAUCCAUUUCAACUAUGGAUAAAAACUUAUACUUCAAAAUAGCCGUUGAUUUAAAAUACAAAUAUAUUUAUAGAAAUUAUAUUUAUUAAAUAUGAUAAUAGAAAAAAUAUUUUUUUAAAUAUAAUAAAACCUUUUCAUUUGCUCACCAUUUUUUUCUUGACUUAAUUUUUUUUUCUCAUUUUACUAUUAUUGUUUGAGAUAAUCUCACUAAAUAUUUUUUACUUAACUAAUAAUAGCAUUUUUCAAUAGAUAAGAUAUGAAGGAUGAUCAUAAACCAAGAAAUUUCAUGAAAAUAUACAUCAAAUAAUUACAAUAUAUAUACAACAUAUAAAAAUAGAGUUGAAUUGAAUGAUAAUUUUGAUGACCACCAUUUCAAAGGAAUUACUUUAAUCACUCCCUCUAGAUUAUUAUUAUUAUUAUUAUUAUUAUUAUUAUUAUUAUUCACAAUAUUCUUUACUAUAUUAGCAUCCAGACCAACGUGAUAAGUGACGCACCACCAUAAUAAUAAUAUUUAACUUUUUGUUAUUUUUUAAAAGAAAAAUUAAUUCCUUUAUUUUUUAAAUAUUAUUUUUAUAUUAAAAAUAUAGUAAUUCCUUUAUUUUAUUUUUUAAAAAAUUAAUUUAUUUUUAAUGUAAAAAUAAUAAUUAAAAAAUAAAGGAAUUAAUUUUUCUUUUUAAAAAACUUAAAUUUUUAUUUAACAAGUUAAAUUAAUAAAUGAAUUUUUUUGUUUAUAAUAUUUAAAAAAAAUGUAUAUAAACUAGUUAUAUAUUUUUUUAACAAUUUAUUUAUACUAGAAUACAUUACAUCAUAAAUAAAAUACAUGAACAAUAAUAUUUAUCUAAGAAAUAUCUGAAGAUGAAGAUAUAUUGGAAUAAUUUUUUCUGUUAUGUCUUUAUUAUCGAAAAUUUUCACAUUUAUUUUUCUAGUAUGAAUACCAUAGUUGUUUGGUAAAAAACUAUAAUAGGUUGUAACAUGUCUCCUUACCAAGGAUUAAUAAUCAAAUGAGGUUGGUAAUGGGGAUGAUUCAUGUGUUAAUUAUUUAUGCUUUCAUUAUUUUCAUGUUUCAAUUAUUAUUGUUAGUCCAUUCUGUUAUUUUUGUUUUAUUAUAUGUUCCAUUUAUGAUGUUUGUCUCUUUAAUUUUUAGUAUUUUAUGUUAUUUGAGUAUUUUAAUUUCUUAAUAUAAUAUAAUUAAGAUGUGAUAAUCAUAUAUAUAUAUAUAUUGUGUUUUUAAUCAAUCUAUUUUUUUAAUCACUUUGAUUUUUAAAUUUAUUUUAAGAUUAUUAAUUAAUUAUUUUCAAACUAUUAAUAAAUAAUUAAACAAAAAAUAUUCUUAUUAUUUAAAAAACAAAAUAAUAAUAUUAAAAAAUUUAGUUAUAUUUUUAUCUGCAAAUAAUAUUUAAAAAACAAGUAAAUUAUUUUUAAAAAAAAUAUAAAAAAAGAAUUUAAUAUUUUUUUUAAAAUUAAAAAAUAAUAGGAGCAAAGAGAAGGUGGGUUCCCUAACCCCGACUUCUCUCUGCAAACUAAAAAGGAGUGUUGUUUAGGAAACAAUUUUGAGGCAGGUGUAUUUUGGAAAAAAAAAAAUAAGGAGAGAACAAGUGCACUGGAGUGAAAAAAUCCAAUAUUCUUGUAAGGUUUUGUUUGGUAGUAAAAAGAGAAAAACAAUUGUGAUGAGAAAAAAUAAGUUAGAGGAUAAAUAUCUUCAACACUUAAACAAACAAAUAAAAAAGGUUUUCUGGAAGUUCACUUAAAUCUAUUUUAACUAUUGAUAAAAAUUUAUACCUGUUGAUUUAAAAUAAAAAUUAUAUUUUAUAGAAAUUAUAUUUAUUAAAUAUGAUAGGAGAAAAAAUAUUUUUUAAAUAUAAUAAAAUCUUUUCAUUUGCUUGUCUUAAAUUGAUUUUAUUAGUAUCUAUUAUUUAUUUUAUUGAUUUUAUUUAAUAAAAAAUCACACACUUUUCUUUUUAUUGAUUUUAUUUAAUAAAAAAUCACACACUUUUCUUUUUACACACAUCUUUGAGAUACAUAUAACCGAUAUUCAAAUCUUGAAUUCAUUAAUAUUAUGUUUUUAGGGAUCAAUUAGCAUGUGUCCUUUCUUUAAUUCUUUCUCUUUUGAUUUGUUCAACAUUUUUUUUUGGCUUAGUAAUUUUUUAAUCUCAUUUUUCUAUUUUUCUCCUAACAAAAUUUAUUCUAUGUGUAAGAAUUAAUAAAUAUUUAAAUCUUUUACCACUUGAUUAAAAAACAAAAAUCACUAUCAAUUAUUUUAACGGUUUAUAAAAUCAUGAUUCAGUAUUAGAUCUUUAUAGAAUAACAUAUCUCUAUGACAACUUUAAUGAUCAGUGUUUGAUCUCAUAUUUGAUUAUAAAAAAUCCCAUUGAAAUAUAAACUAACACGAAUUUAAGUAAAUAUUUGACUAUUUGACUAUUUACUUUAACAAUCGCAAAACCAUAAGGCAUUAGGUGAAUUUUGAUCAUAUUUAAACAGGACUGGAUUAAAAAACAAAGUAUUUAGCACAUCAAUUACAUUUCUCUCAGGUAGUCUACUCGUUUUUAGAGUUCUUGAAAAUAAACGAUUCAUGACCAAGAAGAACAAAACAAGACUAAACAAGUAUGACAGAAAUGUAAGAUUGUCAAAAAUCAAGAAUAAAUGGAAACCAAAUAUGGCAACACAUUACGCAGAAGAAAUAAAAUUUAAUCAAACAAUCAAUCAGCAGAUGGCAGAAAGCACACUAAUACAACAAAAUACAUCAAUAAUGAACUUGAGAUUCAUAAAAAAGGAACAUGCAAACAAGUGAGACCUGCAUUCUGUUUUGAAUUACAUAGACAAAUCAAGUCAUUCACACUCAUCUGCCCAAAUUAAUCGUCUAAAGUUGGGAGAGUUUAAUGACACUCGAGAAGAAAACGAAAAUUCAGUAAAGUUUCAAAUAGGCAAGUAAAAAUAUAACUGAGUUGGCACCUUUUUUCAGAUGCAUGUGGUUCCACUUUCCAUUACAAUCGUUACCUAACUUUGGCAGUCUAUCUACCAAUUUUCAUGCUUGGGUCACAUGCACUAAGUUAUUGUCAAUACAUAUUGGCAACAAAUUAAAAUUUUCCAGAUGAAAAACAAAAGGAAAAAAUUUACAAAUUUUCCGUUAAGAGAAAAAGGCAAAUAAACACAAACACCCCUCUCACCAAGAGAGAGCUUAACUCAUGAAAACAACAACCAUCCACCUAUACCAGAAUUUGGUUUUAAAAUAUCAUAAUUUUUUACUGUUUAUUUUUAAAAAUUGACCGAACGUGCACUUAGAUCUUCUCAUGCUACACAAAAACCAAGUUUAACAAACAUUACACAUUUUAUAAUAAUUUAUGUGUCUUUUCUUUCACAUGAAAUAUAUAGCGUGUUGGAAAUCAGUUUGAGAAAUAAAAAAUCAUGUCUGAGAUAUGUAGAAGAUAUAACUAGUAGCUUCAUGAAAUCACAUUCCCAGAGAAUGAUCACGUCGAUGAUGUGAAAUCAAACACGCUAAUAGACUACAAAUAACUCAGAAGCAUAAAAUUUAAAUCCCCUAUACCAUGAUGACGGAUGUUUCUCAUGAAACAAACAAAGAGAAAAAGAGACAAUUUAGAAAGAAAAAAUCACUUUAAAACCCACAAUAAUAAAAUCGAAAAGUUUAAAAACCUUGAAGGCAAAAAUGAAUCCAGAUUUCAAAAUUUUCAAAUAAGAAUGAAGAUAAAAAUAAUAAUAACUCAGAAAAAUAUUGAUGAAAAUUGAAAUGGCUAAAUCUCAAUUUACCUGCAAGAUGGUUUGAGAAGACCUCUCUCUCUUUGUGUUCUUUGCUUUAUGGUGCAAUGAGAGGAAUGAUGAUCAUAGAGGCGUUAUAACUAAGAAGGAGGAAGAGAAGACAGAAGUUGCUGCCAAGUUUAAUAAAUAAGAGCAUUAGAGAAUAUUCUAACACCUUCUAGUUCUAACUUCUAAGCUGUUUCUCAAACCCACAUUGUUAGCAUAUGAAAAUGUUGUCUCAAGCAUGUGUUUAAUCAUUUUAAAGACCAAAUAUUAUAGUAUGGUAUAUUCUUUAUCUUUAUGUAUUCAAAAUAAUAUUUUUUUUAUUAAAUGUUCUUUAAGCAUUGACUAGUAUUUAUAAAAAUAAUAGAGUAAAAUAUUUAAUUUGUUACAUUUAAUUAGGGAGAUUUUCAUAAUAAAAAAAAUUCUUAAUUUCAAUAAAAAUAUAUUUGAUGAUCUACUUUUUGUAGUAUAAAAACUUUGUAUAGCAUUAGAAAUUAAGAAAUGUAAAGUCAUAAAAAGGAAUAUCAGUAUACUCUAUAUUGUUUCGAAAUUUUGUACUAUCCAUUUUAUAGUAGUAUUGAAUAAGUAAAAUUCUAUCAAAAUCUUUCACACAAAUAAAAUCACGUGAGGUCUCAAUAAUAUGAUUAGGCAAGAUUUCCCUCAUGAAUGAUAGAAUCUGAAUUUGAUUUGAUUUUUGCCUGUUGGUUGAUUUUUUUCUUCAUCUUUCUUACAAUUUCAAUUAAGAAUUUAACAAAUAUAUCUUAUAUAUACAUAUAUAAAUAGAUUUUAAUGCAUUAAUAUACUUAAAUUAGAUACAUUGAAUUUUUGUAACAACCUUUGUGAAUUAUAAGAAAAGUCUGAUCAACUAAAUAAGUUAAUUUACACUCAUGCAUACACUCGCUUCACUUGAACAUAACUCAAUCGUCAUCAUUAUUAUUAUAGUGAGUGAAAUAAAAUGCAAAAUUCUCAUUACUAAAAAAAAUAGCCAUAAAAGGUCUUGUUAAUAAAUAUUCUUAAAUACUAAGAAAACUUAAAACUUAAAAAUAUUAAAUAAAAAUAUAAUAUUAGAAUAUUAAAAUUGUUUGAAAUUUAAUUUCAUUCAAAUAAUUUGCUUUUUUAAAAAUCUUAACAAUUCCACUUGUUACAAUGUGACAAAACAUUCAAGGAAGAAAAAACAAAGUUAACUUAGAUGUAGGAGUGAGAAAUAGGACAACAAAUGGUGCUAUAAAAGUAAUGUCUUGUUAAUAAAUAGAAAAAAUAGGUCAUAUAAUAAAAGUGUAAAUCAAAUUUAAAACUUCAUUCAAUAUUAUUUUAUCAUCUAUAAUAACUAUAAUAAUUAUCUUUAAAAUUAUAUUAAUGAUGAUAUAUGAGUGAAUAAUAAUAUAAAAUUACUUUAUACUUAAUGCAUGGGUUUAAAUUAUAGAAAUAUUUUUAAAUGUUAAAUAAAAAUAUAAUAAUAGUAUAUUAAAAUUGUUAAAAAUACUGUAUAGUUUAUCAUUCAAACUUUUUGGUCCUUUAUUAAAUCUUAGUAACAACUCUCUUGUUAUAAAGUGACAAAAUCUUUUGGGUGUGAGAUUGGUGAGAAUUAGGGAAAAUGAAAAUGAUGCUAUGCCAAACAUCCUUCAACACCUAACCACAAGGCGGGCUCUUCCCAUGACUAGUAGCAAGGUCAUCCAAUCAUAUGGUGUCACGUGGCGGAUGAAUAUUCGUAGUACCAGCCAGUCAACGCCUUCCCGUGUUGUGCUCUAUAUACAGAUGAUAGCUGCACGAAUGAUAAGAUACAUGUCAGUUACUGAUUCAUGGUCGUACCUUACAUGUCGAUCGGACGGGAACCGCUGUUCCAGAUUCAGAAUCAGGAUUCACACGGGUAAGACUCGAAUCAUUGAAUCAGGAGUAAAGAUCUUUCAUUUUUAUUUUUUAAUAACUAUUUUCUUCUUAUGUUUUAGUGUUGGACAAGUUUGUCUUUAAAAGACUAAAAUUAAAAUUUUAGUUUUAAAAGUAAAAGAAAUAUGAUAAAUUUAUUUAUCUGUUAAUUUUUUUAAUUGUUGUAAAUAUAACAUUAUAAUAAAUACUUUAAAAAAAAUAGAAAAUCAAACAUAACUUAGAAUAAACAUAAUAAUAAGCUUUUAAAUCAAUAUUAUGUUUAUCAUUAUGUUUGUUUUAACUAAGUUUUGUUUUCCUAUUUUUUAAGUGUUUAUUGUAAUGUUAUACUUGCAACUAUAGUUGUGAAACUCAGUUCGAUCAUUGACCAAAUCAAAAUAUUUGGUGGGUGGGUUAGUGGUGUUGGACCAGUCAUUGGACUUGUUUGACCUGAUAUAUUAUAAAAAUUUAAAAUUAUAUAUUUAUCUAUAUAUAAGUAUAUAACUAACAUUAUUUGAGCAAAAAAAAUCCAUCCAUACUUCAUAAUCUAAUAUAACAAUUGAUAAUAAUAAGACAUCAAAACAACACCGUAGAGGUGAUUUUUUUUUUUUUUGUAAAAUCAGUCAGGUCGGACUGGUCCAACCGGGAUCUGGUGGCUAAUUGUCCUAGUUUGGCUGGGUCCUCCAGUGUCAAUUGUAUGAUCGAUCCAAUAGUGGAACUGGUUCGGCUAGACCACCGGGUCUCAGUUGGAUUGGUCCGAAUAGCUGAGCCAAACUGGAUUUCACAACUGUGCUUGCAACGAUUGAAAAAUGAGAAAGAUGAAGAUUAAAUUAUAUUUUGGGUGAAUAAUCAUUUUUGUCCCUGGAUGUGUUGAGCAUUGACAAAUUCGUCCCUGAAUGUGUCAUGUUUGCUCUUUCAUUAAAAGUAACGAAUGGAAGUUAAUAGAUGAAUGAAUUUAUCACACUUUUUUCACUUUCGAGGACCAAAAUUAGAAUUUACAUCUUUCUGUAACGAAUUUGUCAGUGUUCUACAUAUUGCAUGACGAAAAUGACUGGUUACCCUUUUUUUAACGGCAUAAUAGUCAUUAAUAUAAAGUUCACUUAAAUCCAUUUCAACUAUGGAUAAAAACUUAUACUUCAAAAUAGCUGUUGAUUUAAAAUAAAAAUAUAUUUUAUAGAAAUUAUUUUAUGAAAUAUGAUAAUAGAAAAAUAUAUCUUUUUUUUAAAUAUAAUAAAACCUUUUCAUUUGCUCACCAUUUUUUUUUCUUGACUUAAAUUUUCUUUUUCUCUCAUUUUACUAUUUUUGUUUGAGAUAAUCUCACUAAAUAUUUUUUACUUAACUAAUAAUAACAUUUUUAUAUAGAUAAGAUAUGAAGGAUGAUCAGAAACCAAGAAAUUUCAUAAAAAUAUACAUCAAAUAAUUACAAUAGAUAUACAACAUAUAAAAAUAGAGUUGAAUUGAAUGAUAAUUUUAAUGACACAAUUUCAAAGGAAUUACUUUAAUCACUCCCUCUAGAGUAUUAUUAUUAUUAUUACUAUUCUAUAAUAGUAUCUAUUAUUUAUUGAUUUUAUUUAGUAAAAAAUCACACACUUUUCUUUCUACAUACUUCUUUUCUUUUUUAUGUACAAAUAAGGACAUAUUGAACUCUUUAAUUCAUUAAUAUUAUGUUCUUAGGGAUCAAUUAGCAUGUGUCUUUUGUUCAAUUCUUUCUUUUUAUUUGUUCAAUACUUCUUUUUUUUUGGUUUAAUAUUUUUUAAUUUUAUAUUUAUUUAUUCUAUAUGUAAAGAUUAAUCAUGAUUUGAAUCUUGUACCACUUGAUUAAGAAACAUAAAUUACUACUACUAAUGUCAAUUAUUUAUGAGAUCAUGGUUUGUUAUUAAACCUUUCUAGAACAACACAUCUCUAUGACAACUUUAAUCGUGCAUAUUAUAUUUAUGUUUGAUUUUCUAAAAUUAUGUUAAAAUAUAAACUAACAUGAAUUUGAGUAAAUGUUCAACUAUUUACUGGAAUUGAUUUUAAAUUUUAAAUUUAGAACUAAUUCUAAGUUAAGUAUUUUUAGAUAACUUUUGGAUUACACAAAAAAAAAUUAUUUUCAAUUUUACUACUAACUUAUUUUUGGAAUAAAAAUAUCCAAAUAUAAAUUAGAUUUGUGAAAUCAACUUUUGUACCGUUCAUACAAACACAUGUACAAUCUGCCUUAAUACAACUUGUCUUACAGACCAUUAACAGGAACUUAAAUACGCAAAGUACCCUUACAGCCAUCCAUACAUAUCACAAAGAAAAGGGAUCAGUGUUUUGUGAAACCUGCAAGCAAUUUCAGAAAUGAAAGAAAAAAACAUACACCACUGAUCCACACGGUUUGGAAACAGAAAUGAAACUAGUCAUAAGUCACCCACCACCAUAAUAAUACAAAUAAUAAAUAAAAAAACCUUAUCAAGAACGAGUGAAAGUGAAGCGAGUUGACUUACGAAGAACCAAUCCAGUUCAUAGCAACCAAUUCCUUGCCUUUGUCUUUCUACUCUGAUCAUCUUUUAUUCUUGAGGUAAUGGCAGCAGCAGUGGUAGGUGGUGCCUUUCUCUCUGCUUUCCUUGAUGUGCUUUUCGACAGGCUGGCUUCACCUGAGUUUGUUCACUUGAUCCUUGGAAAGAAGCUUAGCAAGAAGUUGCUUCAAAAGUUGGAGAUCACUCUCAGAGUGGUUGGAGCUGUGCUUGAUGAUGCCGAGAAGAAACAGACCACAAACACCAAUGUCAAACACUGGCUCAAUGAUCUCAAAGAUGCUGUCUAUGAAGCCGAUGACUUACUCGACCAUGUUUUCACCAAAGCUGCCAACCAAAACAAGGUAAGAAACUUUUUUUCUCGCUUUUCCGAUAGGAAGAUCGGUAGUAAGUUGGAGGACAUAGUUGUCACACUUGAGUCUCAUUUAAAACUCAAGGAGAGUCUUGAUUUGAAAGAGAGUGCAGUGGAGAACGUGUCAUGGAAAGCUCCAUCAACAUCUCUGGAAGAUGGAUCUCAUAUAUAUGGUAGGGAGAAAGAUAAGGAGGCCAUAAUCAAGUUGUUGUCGGAGGAUAACAGUGACGGUAGUGAAGUGUCUGUGGUUCCUAUUGUGGGCAUGGGUGGGGUUGGAAAAACUACUUUGGCCCAAUUGGUGUACAAUGAUGAGAAUUUGGAAGAGAUAUUUGACUUUAAGGCAUGGGUUUGUGUUUCUCAAGAACUUGAUAUUCUGAAGGUCACAAAAACUAUAACAGAGGCGGUUACUGGAAAGCCUUGUAAAUUGAAUGAUCUGAAUCUACUUCAUCUUGAAUUGAUGGACAAGCUGAAAGAUAAAGAAUUCUUAAUUGUCUUGGAUGAUGUUUGGACAGAGAAUUAUGUUAACUGGAGACUUCUUAAGAAACCAUUUAACCGUGGGAUUAAGAGAAGUAAGAUUCUUCUAACAACCCGCAGUGAAAAAACAGCCUCUAUAGUCCAAACUGUUCACAUCUAUCAUCUAAACCAAUUGUCGAAUGAAGAUUGUUGGUCAGUGUUUGCGAACCAUGCGUGUCUUUCCUCCGAAUCGAACGGGAACACAACAACACUAGAAAAAAUUGGAAAGGAGAUUGUUAAAAAGUGCAACGGACUGCCUUUAGCAGCACAGUCGCUUGGAGGCAUGUUGAGAAGAAAGCAUGACAUCAUGGAUUGGAAUAAUAUUCUCAAUAGUGACAUUUGGGAACUUUCUGAAAGUGAGUGUGAAGUUAUUCCAGCACUGAGACUUAGUUAUCAUUAUCUCCCUCCACAUUUAAAACGGUGCUUUGUUUAUUGUUCCUUGUAUCCACAAGAUUACGAAUUUGAAAAAUAUGAAUUAAUCUUGUUGUGGAUGGCCGAAGAUCUUUUGAAGAAAUCAAGCAAGGGUAGGACUUUAGAAGAGGUUGGUCAUGAGUAUUUUGAUGAUUUGGUUUCGAGAUCAUUUUUCCAACGUUCAAACACAAGUAGAAGUAGUUGGCCUUAUGGCAAAUGUUUUGUGAUGCAUGACCUCAUGCAUGAUCUAGCCACAUCACUCGGUGGAGAUUUUUACUUUAGAUCAGAAGAACUUGGGAAAGAAACAAAGAUCAAGACCAAGACUCGUCAUUUGUCAUUUACGAAAUUCAAUUCUUCAGUCUUGGACAACUUUGAUGUUGUUGGUAGAGCAAAAUUUCUGAGAACUUUCUUGUCCAUUAUCAAUUUUGAAGCUGCUCCAUUCAACAACGAGGAGGCACAAUGUAUCAUAGUGUCGAAGCUUAUGUACUUGAGAGUUUUAUCAUUUCAUGACUUCCAAAGUCUGGAUUCUUUGCCUGAUUCAAUAGGUAAAUUGAUCCAUCUGCGCUAUUUAGAUCUCUCUCGUUCAAGUAUAGAUACACUGCCAGAGUCAUUGUGUAAUUUGUACAAUCUGCAAACUUUGAAGUUGUGUAGUUGCAGAAAGCUGACUAAGUUGCCUAGUGACAUGUGCAAUCUUGUUAACUUGCGUCAUCUUGAGAUACGUCAAACUCCUAUAAAAGAGAUGCCGAGAGGAAUGAGCAAAUUAAAUCAUUUACAACAUCUGGAUUUCUUUGUUGUGGGCAAGCACCAAGAGAAUGGAAUCAAAGAAUUGGGAGGACUUUCAAAUCUUCGUGGUCAACUUGAACUUAGGAACAUGGAGAAUGUUUCCCAAAGUGAUGAAGCGUUGGAGGCAAGGAUGAUGGAUAAAAAACACAUUAAUAGUUUACUGUUGGAAUGGUCUGGAUGUAACAACAACAGUACCAACUUCCAACUUGAAAUAGAUGUGCUUUGCAAGUUACAGCCUCACUUUAACAUUGAAUCGUUGCAAAUAAAAGGCUAUAAAGGAACCAAAUUUCCAGAUUGGAUGGGAAAUUCUUCCUACUGCAAUAUGACACGUCUAACCUUAAGUGAUUGUGACAACUGUAGUAUGCUUCCUUCACUUGAACAGCUACCUUCUCUCAAGUUCCUUGUAAUUUCAAGAUUGAAUAGGCUGAAGACUAUCGAUGCAGGUUUUUACAAGAAUGAAGAUUGUCGUUCUUGGAGGCCCUUUCCCUCCCUUGAAUCUCUGUUCAUUUAUGACAUGCCUUGUUGGGAGUUGUGGAGUUCCUUUGAUUCAGAAGCUUUUCCUUUGCUUAAAAGUCUUAGAAUACUUGGCUGCCCCAAACUAGAGGGAAGUUUGCCGAAUCACCUUCCUGCUCUGGAAACACUUUAUAUUAGUGAUUGCGAGCUGCUUGUCUCUUCUCUCCCAACGGCUCCCGCCAUUCAAAGUUUGGAGAUAAGUAAAAGCAAUAAAGUAGCAUUGCAUGCGUUACCUCUCUUGGUAGAGACUAUAGAAGUAGAAGGAAGCCCAAUGGUGGAGUCUAUGAUAGAGGCCAUCACUAACAUCCAACCAACUUGUCUCCGGUCUUUAACAUUAAGGGAUUGCUCGUCAGCCGUGUCAUUUCCAGGUGGUCGUUUACCUGAAUCACUGAAGACUCUGCGUAUCUGGGAUCUUAAAAAACUGGAAUUCCCGACGCAACACAAACAUGAGUUACUGGAAACACUGACAAUAGAAAGCAGUUGUGAUUCACUCACAUCUCUUCCAUUGAUUACCUUUCCAAAUCUCAGAGAUCUUGCAAUCAGAAACUGUGAAAAUAUGGAAUAUCUUUUGGUUUCAGGGGCAGAGUCAUUUAAGAGUCUGUGUUCUUUGAGAAUUUAUCAAUGCCCCAACUUUGUAUCAUUCUGGAGAGAAGGAUUGCCUGCGCCCAACUUGAUUACUUUCAAAGUUUGGGGCUCUGACAAGUUGAAGUCGUUGCCUGAUGAGAUGAGUACUCUUCUCCCAAAGUUAGAACAUCUUUACAUAUCCAACUGCCCAGAAAUUGAGUCGUUUCCAGAAGGGGGUAUGCCACCUAACCUGAGAACAGUUUGGAUUGUCAAUUGUGAGAAACUACUGAGCGGCCUAGCAUGGCCAUCCAUGGGCAUGCUUACCCAUCUCAGUGUUGGGGGUCGAUGUGAUGGCAUCAAGUCCUUCCCUAAGGAGGGUUUGCUGCCUCCCUCCCUUACGUCUCUGUAUCUAUAUGACUUGUCAAAUCUGGAGUUGUUGGACUGCACGGGGCUUCUCGAUCUCACAUCCCUGCAAAUAUUACACAUAGACAAUUGUCCUUUGCUGGAGAAUAUGGCUGGAGAAAGGCUUCCUGUCUCUCUAAUAAAAUUAACCAUAAUGGGAUGUCCUUUGCUGGAAAAACGAUGCCGCAUGAAGCACCCUCAAAUUUGGCCUAAAAUUUGCCACAUCCCUGGCAUUAAGGUUGACGAUAGAUGGAUUUAGCCACCAAGGAUGAUCAACAGGUAUCUUCUAAGUCCAACCAACUACAAAACUAUUUCUGUCAAGGAUAUGUUUCAUUUCAUGUCUUUCUCCUUUUACGUUUUACUACAUCCUUCAAGUGAACUUCAGAAGGAUUUGAUGAUUUCAGCUUAUCUCUUAUCCCCUGUCCUAUACAUUAAUAGUGAUAUGAUUAUACUAAAAAUAUGAUAGAUAUGUAGAUAUGUAAGAAUUGAUAAAGACAUAAUAAAUAUACAAUUGCAAUUCGGUAAAUUGAAGAACAUACAUACUUCUUAGACAUUACUUAAAAACAAAAUCAAAAAAUUGUAGAUCAUUUUUUCCUAUUGAUCACAAAUAAGAAUGGUACUAUCAAUGAUCAAUCUCAUUUCUUUCUUGAAAUUAUCUAUAAACAAAACAAUUUUCAUAUUUGGUUCAUCAAGAAACUAUACUUUUUAUAUUUCUAUAUUAUACUUACUUCUAUGUUACACAUCACUAUAUUUGAUUAUCAUCAUUUUUUUAAAGAAUUGGUCACUUCACAUAUAUGUACCAGUGAAAUAUAUCAAUAUAUUGGUAUCAGAUAUAGAUGCAUGAAGCAAAUUAAAGUAUCAGUACUUUGUAGCAAAACACAUUCUUCAUAUCAUGACAUGAGGUAAAAAAAUAAGAUGAUAUUUUUGUAAGUAUUGGAAAAAGAAAGGUAAAGCUUCUGAAAUCAAAGAGACACUAAUUUUCCACAACAUCCUUCAAUUGGGCCAAGCUUCCUUUCCUAUUGACAAAUAACUGGUUGUUAGUGCCAGCCUUUUCUUUUUUCCAGUUUUCCAUUGAUGGUUAAAAGCUAAUAUGAACCUGUCACUCCUUAAAAUUUCCACCAAUGUUUGGUAAAUAAAUAUAUAGGAUAGUGAAUAAUACAAGCCUUGCAUUCUAUGGUUCCCGUCAUUGUGAAAAUAAAUAUAUAGGGUUUUUUGGCAUCUGCUAAUUUUCUUCAUUCCCAAAAGGAUUACACAAUCCAAAAUUGACUCUUCAUUCCCAAAAGCUAGGUUUUUAAUUUUUCUUCAUCUCCCACACUUUCAGAAACUUCUACAAGAGAAGUUCUUCAUCUCCCACACUUCCACAACCUCAUUACGCUGGCAAAUCUCCCAAUCACAGUGACGCACAACAACACAUGGCGAUGCACAAUGACACACGGCGAUGCACACCCAUACAAUCGUUCCCAUCGAUGGUGACCACAACGGCGCACACCCAGGUUUGGACUUUAUCAUAUGCUGUGUCGUUUUUGUAUGCUUUUUUAUAUUUUUUUAUACGCAUAUGACUUUUAUUGGUUGGUCGUAAUGACAUUGUCGUUGGCUAGUAUCUUUGUCGUCGACAGAUGAUUGUUUUUGGGGUUUCGACGAUGACUAUAACGACACUGUUGCCAUCGCGUUUUUCGUGGUGUUCAUCAUCCAUCUGGCCUCUAUCGUCAAACCUCUCCUCUUGUGUUCUCUUCUUUAUUCUCAAACUUCUUCUCUUCUCUUCUCUAUUAUGAAACUUGCCUUUUGUUCUCUAUUAUGAAACUUUUUAUGUUCUCUUUUUGUGAAUAUACAAUUAAUUUUUGUUAUAUUUCUCUAUAUAGGAUGUCUGAUGAAAUCAGUCUUAUUUUACACCACAAUGCUAAAUUCAUACAAAAUGCAAACGGAGCACUGGAGUAUGUCGAUGGUGAAUUCUAUGUCUGGGAAGAAGUUGAAAAAGAUUUGGUUAAUGUCUGGACACCCCAAGAAUUGUGCAAAGCUUACUGCAACUUUGUGAAAUUACUGACAAAUUCCUUCAACAAAAAAAUACUGACAAUUUGAUCCAUAAAUUUUUUACUGACGUUUAUGUCCAAAAAUGAUUUCUUACUAACAUUUUCGUCCAAUCUAGUCAGUAUGGUCACGUUGACAAUCAAUUUUGUGACAAGUUUGUCCCUUUGUGUCAUAUAGGCAAUUUUUUAAAUGGUAACAAAAGAAAGUUGACGGCAAGAUAUUUUUGUCACACUUUUAGCACUUUCGAGGACUAAAUUUUGUAUUUAAAUCUUUCAGGGACACAUUUGUCAGUGAAUUACAUUUUCAGGGAUAAAAAUGACUAUUUACCCAAUAUUGUUUUAAUAUAAAUAGAUGUUUUCGUACAUUGGCAUGUAGAUACCAUAUUUCAUAAGAAUUAACAAUCCAUUAGUUGACUUAAUACCGUCCAGCCAGAUGUUUUGGAUUAGUGAAACAUCUUCAAAGGCUCUCAUCUUCGCAUGAAGAUUUCUCUUAGACAGAUUGCCAACAUGUGAGCACCUACAGAGAUGAGGAAUCAAUAUUCCGAACCUGGAUUCUUCAUUCUACUUCUAUCAUCUCUAGGUACAAAGCGUGUCACAUCUAUUUUUGUCUUGUUUGAUAACUUCAUGGAAGGGAUGACAAAUGAAUCCAUUUAUCAUCAUUCAUCUAAUCCAUCCAUAAGUAAAUUCAUCCAAUCCAUCCAUUACAAAAAAAUAAAAUACAUACAUUUAAUUUUAUGAUGGUUAUUGAUCCAUUCACUAAGUUUCCAAAUCCAAUUAUGGAUCACCUAAUAAGUACUUAAUGGAUCAAUAUUGAUCCAACUUAAUAGUUAAAGAAUUUGCGGGCAAUCUUCAACCAACGACGGGCAAGAUUUUUUCGGUUUGGAUUAGUUUUUGGCAAAUGUUGGCACAAUUUUUUUGAUCGACGUUGAUAGAUAAUCUUUUUUGGCUAACAUUAGUCGAGAUUAUUUUUCAAUUUAUGUCUACUAGGGCUACUUUCCAACAAACGUUCAUAGUAUAAUUUCAGCUCAUAUCAGUCAAAGCAAUUUUUGGAUGAUGCUAAGUAGGGAUUUUUUAGUCGACUUUGGUCAAGGCUAUGUUUUGGCUGAUUUAGAACAGAGUUUUUUCGACCAACAUCACGUGAUGAUAUUUUUUAGUUGUCAUCAGUCGAGACUAUUUUUUUUAUUAAUGUCGUCAAGGUUUUAUAUUUGGUUGACGGUUGUGACUUUUUUAUGGUCGAUGUUGUCAAAAGUUUUUUCGAUCGAUGCUAUCUUUUGGUCAAUGUCAACUAGGGUAUUUUUUGCCUAAUGACUAUCGAGGUUAUUUUCUGGCCGACAUUGGUUAAGUUUUUUCGGUUGAAGUCAACUAAGGCUAUUUUUGGUUGAUGUUGGCUAGGAUUGUUUGGUCGGCAUUGACCAAGGCUAUUUUUUGGCUAACAUUAUUUAGGGAUUUUUUUGGUCGACGUUAAUUGGUGUUAUCUUCUUGAAAUACAAUACAUCACACUAGAAAGGGGGUGAAAUAGUGUGUUAAUCAAAAUAUAAAACCUUUUAAAAUGGAAGAUGUUUAUAAAAACCCUCGGCCAGUGAAAAAAAAUGGAUUGUCGUCCAAUGAUGUAUAAAACUUAUUUUUCACUGAAAACUUUUGUGUGCUAAAUUAUCACUAAUUGACUUUGAAAUACUUUGAUAAAUUAAAGAAAAAAGUAAAAAUACUCCAAUUUAUACCGGGUCACUUAACCUGAGUUACGUCUAGUUCUCCUUUAUUAACCAGUAAAGGGUUUCACUAAUCAAACUUGAUUAGAACAAGUAUUUUUCCGUACCACUUCCGGCUUAUAAGUAUUCUCAAGGUCAUUACUAAGAGGAAUUAAAACAAUGAUUAUCACAGAAAAUUGUCGUUGUUUUUUUCCUCUAAUUACAAAAUUACCACCCAGACACAUUCUAAAAUUAUCCCUGAUAGAUGUGCGUCAUUAAAUAGCUCAUUAUUCGUGAGUUCAUUUCAUUUAAUCAAUUUACAAUUUAUAGGUCACAAAUAAAGAAUAUAAAAAAAAAUCAUGUAACACAAAUGGCAGGAAAAAAAAUGAGGAAAGACUAGAGGCUUUCUUUGACACAAGUUGCAAACUAUGGAGUAGAACCCAAAAGGCUAUCUAAACCAUGUACAAAUACAGACACACAUGCAUAAACAGAUACAUUUUAAAGGAACAUCUAAAUCAGUUUUCAAAGUUUACCUUUUUUUUUAAAGAGUAAAUUUUAUUAGAAUGAAAGAAGGAAAUAGGACGAGAAGAAUAAGCCAUCCUAUGUCAUGAAAACUGAUUCCAGCAUGAAUGAGAUAAGUCAGCUGCAUCAACACCUCUAUCCUGCAUCAAAUUGGAUGAUGAAGAGCACUAGAAAACAAAUGGAAAAAUAUUAUUAAAAAAAAAGUUAGAGCUACCUCCGAAUUAGAUAUAUUCUCUGAUGAUGUACCAAAGCUGUGCAUUUGUAUCCAUCAGCUGUAAUUCACAAGGAACAAUCUUUAUAUUUAGGAGAAUGCAUUAUACAUUAAAUACAAUUGGCUUAUAAAUACUUUGACACAUACCAAAAACUGGAAACCACUUUCAGUUAAUUUUGGAGCUUCUUUGUCUCUGUAUUGGCACAUGAAAAAAUUAUAUCAAGUGUGAGAUUUUCAAUACCCAUUUACCCACACACGCAUAUAAGAGGACUGUUGUAACAAUCCUUAAUGAUAGGAUACAUUUCUCAUCACGUACUCCGGCCACCCCUAGCGUAAUCAUUAAGCAAAAAUCUGUUACAUAAAAAAUGAUGGUUAAAUUGAAACAGCCACCCCUAGCACCUAAUAUUAAAUAUAGUGACUUCAUAGAUUCAUAGUUGUCAAACUCUACUGCUUACCUUCUACGAGCAUUUGUCUUAACAGUCUUGGUAAAUACAAACUUCUCAAAAGCUAACUUUGCAUUGUUUGUUGGCCAGUCAUCUGAGUAAUACUUGACUGCCACACGCUUCCCUUCAGAGUCCAAAAAUUAGAAAUUGUUGAAAUAUAAAUGUAAAGUCAAGUCUCACAUUUGGUCUGAAUAAGAAGAUUAAACACCAUAUAAAUAAAAAAAGAUCCAUAAAACUUGAGCUUUAAUAUUUUAAAUUAAAAUAUGAUAUUAAACUGAUUUAUAUAAUUUCUGGGUAACCCAUUACAUUUCUCCUGUAUUUAUUCCUUGCACAGGAAUGAUUUACGAUAUUAGUUCAGCUGUCUUUUAGUAAUAGAUAUAGACAGUGACUGGGAAAUGAGGGUCCCCCAUUAAAAUUGCACAUGCAACUGCCGAAUGCAAUAGUAGUUGAAGAUUUUCUUUUAUCAAUGUGUAAUUUCUAAGAUUAAAGCAAAAUAAAAAUGUGUGCAGAAAUAGUAUAGUAAUCAGAGUGUUUCAUCCAUACGUCACAUUUAUUAAUAUAAUAAAAUAAUUAUAACUAUAUAUAGAGAGAAAUUGAAAACAUACCACUCCAAGACAACAAUAUUUAGUCUCUUUAUUUACAUAUUCGUAUCGCGGAUAUAAAUAUUUUAAAAAAAAAUAGAUAGAAUUUAUUUCUUAAAACAAGAAAAAAAAAAUAUUUUUAAAAGCACAAACAAUUCAAAUAAAAGGUGAGUUUGUUUAAAUUUUUUAAAAUAAUUUAAAAAUAAAUAUUUUUUUAAGAAACAAAUGGAAUUUAUUUGUUAAAAUAAGUAAAUUUUUUAAAACAAAAAUAAUUUAGACAAAUAUAUUAUAAAAAAUAACAAAAAUACUUAAUUAUAAGAUGGUGAUCAUGACUUUUUUUCUAGUACUAUGAAGAUUGAAGACAACUGAACCCAAACAAACAAAGUAAGAACACAAACACAACACUGGGCCUUGGUGAACACGGAAGACCAAAUUCAGUUAAAAAAGUCUAAACCAAAUUCUAAUAACAUGCGUACCUUGAUUGUUGGGUUAGUAGACCAAAAGACUAAGCUAAUGAUGGUCAAAUAUCAUAAACUAAUGAUGCUAACGUUGCAACAAGAGCAAGUUCCAAAGGCAUGCAGUUAAUAUUAGCUGGGUAACUCAUCCUUUUUCUUUUGGCAUCAAACAUCUAAAAAUGAGUUCAUCUUUGUUAUUUUCAGAUCAUGAAUAUGAUGAUUACAACUUUUAGCAUUUUGUUGUGUUCACCAAAAAAUAUCUUGUUAUUGUUGAAAUUAUAUACUUUUAGAUAUUGAGGGAGGAAAAGAGAUAAAAGAGAAUGACACACUGGGUUGAUAUUAACUUAGAUGUAUUUAAACAUUUGUAUAUUUGAUUUGAUAUAUUCAUAAAACCUAUAGUACUAACCCUUAUAUGCUAAUCAUAAUCCGAAUUAAGAAAACAAGUCAUGAUAAGAUAAAGAAAUAUGGCAACUAAUCACAAAUUCAAGACAGAUAAAGAGAAACUAAUACUAAGGAUAGUCUAAGAUAUUCUAAUAAGAUAUAAUAAAAUAUUUUCAUAUAUUCUAGCAGUUAUUAAAAAGAAUUCACAUCACAUAGGUGAUUUGACAAUCUAAACCCUCAAGCUUCGUUUUCUAAACAUAUAUACUAUACAAAAACAGGAACAGCAAUUAAAGCAUUCAGUUAAACCUCUGGAGUUCAAAAUAUGAAUCCUAGAAGUGGGUUGUACAUGCUCAACAUUAAACUAGGCCUCCAAUAAUUGCAUAUUAAAUUGCGUAUCCAUUGACUGAAUUUUGGAUGAAUUCAGCAUGGAUCCAGGCAUCCAGCGAUUUUCAGGUUCCAUAAAACAUAAAAAUCAAUACUCCAAUCAUAUUUGUCAAUCUCCUAUACUUUUUGUAAGAAAAAAUUAGAAACACAAUAAAAAAAUAGCAAAAAUAAAAUGAAUAAAUAUGUGCAAUCUGAAAGUACAAUAGCUAUUCAUAAAAGAGAAGAUACAAAAAGUGAAAAGUUUAACUUACAUUGUUGAAAUAAGUGAGUGGAUUUGGCCAUAAAUCAUCCUUGAUUAAUUCUGCAACCUGCAUUUAGAGUGAAAUAAUGCUUUAGGACUAAUGUGAUUAUGUGAAGAAGAAAAAAAGAAUAUACCUAAAGAACUUCAAUCUGGAAAGAAUUUUAUAAGACCAGAAAAAAAUAUACCUCGUCAUGAAUUUCAUCCACAUCAUCUUUUUGCUCACGGUCACUAAACCAACUAAAGAAACUGCAUUUAUUGGCACAAGAAAAUUAAAAUACUAAUCAUUGGUUCCAUGAACUAUUUACAAAAGGAGCUUUAAUAACAUUUCCUUCAAAUAUAAUUAAUCAAAAUAAUUGGAAUACAAUACAUCACACUAGAAAGGGAUGAAAUAGUGUGUUAAUCAAAAUAUAAAACCUUUUAAAAUGGAAGAUGUUUAUAAAAACCCUUGACCAGUGACAAAAAAUGGAUUGUCGUCCAAUAUAAAACUUAUUUUUCACUGAAAACUUUGUGUGCUAAAUUAUCAAUAAUUGACUUUGAAAUACUUUGAUAAAUUAAAAAAACAGUAAAAAUACUCCAAUUUAUACCGGAUCACCUGAGUUACGUUUAGUUCUCCUUAGUUCUCCUUUACUAACCAGUAAAGGAUUUCACUAAUCAAACUUGAUUACAACAAGUAUUUUUCCCUACCACUUCCAGUUUAUAAAUAUUCUCAAGGUCACUACUAAGAGGAAUUAAAACAACAAUUAUCACAGAAAAUUAUCGUUGUUUUUUCCUCUAAUUACAAAAUUAACACGCAGACACAUUCUAAAACAAUCCCUGAUAGAUGUGCAUCAUUAAAUAGCUCAUUUCUAGUAGUGAUUACACCUUUAUUCUAACCGCAUGUAUAAAAAAGCAAAGCCAAACGAACUUAUUUGUAUUUUUUUCAAUAUUAUUUUCGUGAUGAUUUGUUUAGCAAAUAUUUAUUUGGUGAAAAAGCCGCUUUUAAUAUAUAUGUUGCAAUUCUUGCAUAUGUGCAAAAAUGUUUUAUAAAUGUCAAUCCAUGUGAGCAUUGCCGGAUAUAUAUGUAUGAUAUAUACGUAAGCAGAAAUGGUAGCCCAUAACGAUAUUGUGGUUCAUCCAAGUGAUUAUCCAAGUGCAACCUGAUUGCCAAACUUUAUCAUAAAGUAGCUAGGGAUUCAAUUAUAACUACAAACCAUUCUGAUAUCAUUCAAUUGUUGAAACAAUUAGCAAGCAGUAGCGAAAUAGUGCGAACAAUUCGUGAGCUGGAAUGCUAAUCUUAAUUAUUGGCCAACUUCUAUCCAUAUCAAUGAUAACCCAUCUGCUUUUCAGAUGCACUGUCUUUCAUAAAUUUCUAUCUUUGCAAUAUGUGCAUUCUUAUUCCACUUAUGAUCAUGAUAUAUCCUCAAGAUGACGGAGGAUCUUCGCUAUAUAGUAUAUACCCAAGCCAUGCUUUGAUGAGUGACCAUACUAUUAGAAUGAAAAUUAAGAAAAUUAAAAAGUUGAGUUAGAAAUUUUAUUAUAUUUUAUUUUUAAAGUUAAUAUGUAAUAUAUAUUCUUGUGACCAACAUGUUAUUGCCUAGAGUGAAAUUAAAUCUGAUGCAACCAAAUGACUAAGUGACUGAGUAUAAGUUAUUAGUUUAUUUAAAAUAAAGUUGAAUCGUUUGGAUAUUAUCUGAAUUCGGUUUAACAAAAAUAAUUAUUGAUAAGAUUUUACUUAACUCUGAUUUCAGGAUCAUUUUCCAUGAUGAAUCGAAGAGUUAAGACAAAAAUAAAAUACAUCUCCUUAACUCAAAAUUUUAGAUUUAAGUCUUACAUAUUAAAAAUAAUUAAAAAUAGUAACUUCGUUAAAGAUUACUAACUAAAUUUCUCUACAAAGAUGAGUUAUCAGUAUAUAAAAUUGAUAAAUACUUUACAUUAAUGUCAUGAAAAAAUAUAAUUUAUAUUUAGUGCAUGAGUUUAAAUUAUAGAAAUAUUCUUAAAUAUUAAAUAAAAAUAUAAUAAUAGUAUAUUAAAAUUGUUUAAAAAAACAUUAUAAUUUAUCUUUUACAAAAGAUAAAAAUAAUUGUGAGGAGAAAAAAUAAAUUAGAGGAUAAAUAUUUUUAAGACUUUAACAAAAACAUAAAAUAAAAAUUCAUUUUUAGAGUUAUGUCUAUUUAUAUUAUAUGCAAAGGAAAUUUAAACUUUUAUGAGUCGUUGGAUCUAGGACUUUAACUACACAAUAAUCAUUGAUACCAAGUUCACUUAAAUUUAUCUCAACUAUUGAUAAAAACUUAUAUUUCAUAAUAAUUUUUUAUUUAAAAUAAAAAUAAAAAUUAUUUUAUAGAAAUUAUAUUUAUUAAAUAUCAUAAGAGAAAAAAUAUAUCUUUUUUUAAAUAUAAUAAAAUAUUUUCAUUUGCUCAUCAUUUCUUUUUUUACUUAAAUUUUCUUUCUCUCUCAUUUUACUAUUGCUGUUUGAGAUAAUCUCACUAUUUUUUUUUACUUAACUAACAGUAACAUUUUUGUAUAGAUAAGAUUUGAAGGAUGAAAUUUCAUGAAAAUAUACAUCAAACAAUUACAAUAAAUAUGCAACAUAUAAAAGUAGAGUGGAAUUGAAUGAUGAUUUUUUAUGCCAUAAUUUCAAAAGAAUUACUUUUAUUCCUCCCUCUAGAUACUGAAAACACCAAUUUACUUAAGUAGAGUAGGGACAAGACCAGAUAUUUCUGGACUCUUUAUCAGUCAAAACCUUCAAAUACUGAGAUGGGUUAAGGUAAUGCAAUCUAUAGCUUAAAAGGAAUUUAGAAGUGAAAAUAAUGUUUGCUUCAUAUUAUACCUCAGCCAAUUUUGGAACAAUCUUAGGGAGACACCGAGACAAAUGCUGAGGAGCACGGUAUGCCAUAGCACCAAGUACUUGUACACUACUUUGUUUUGUCCUCCAAGCUUUAACUUCAAGACCCCGAACAAAUAAAUUAGCUAUGCGAUAGUUCAUCGAAAUAGAUGUUAUGGAUAGUAAUUUUUUAAUUUGUUCAAUUUACAUGCUAUGUUGGAAUGAAAUUAAUUGAAAAGAAGCAUUGGGCUGUAAACAAGGUUGCAUUUCAGUUUGCAGUAUAUUUGUUUGUACUGACCCAUGAUGUUAUGAUUGCUCUUUCAUCUUGCUUAGCAGUAAACGAUACAUAAUAUAGCAUGACUUAAAAAGAAAGGCACAAAUAAGGAGAUUUGAUGUUUGCUUGCAGAAUGCAGAUUGAUUUAUGCUUGAAGGCUGACACCUUGCAGAUUGAUUGCUCAUCAUCUUGGACGUGCCACUGGUAGUGGGCAAGUGACAAGGUCUUUGGGUAGUUUGCAGGAGAUACUAGGUUCAAACAUUUGUGCAAUCAUUUUUAAGUAAUUGCAUUUCAUUUGGACUAAAACUGGUAUGGUUUAUUGGAUUGACUUUUCAAAAACACCAUGUCAAUGUGUGCAACAUAAUUAAAUUAAUAUAGAACAUAUUGCUUGUGUGAUAGACUACCGAGGCUACUUAUUCUUUAAGUUGCUCUUUGUUGUUCCUGCUUAUGGCUUUCAAUGUAUGAAGUUAGGACACCUCUCCUGGUUGAACUUUGAAGUCACAGAAUUAGGUAUCCAAUUAAAAAUAUUUGUUGGUUCACACGCAUGAGCACCUGUUAUAUGGGUUCUUGUCAAUUUUUUACAUGACAUUGUGGUGUUCUAAAUCACAUAGAAGAGAAAACAGUGGAAAUUGUUUUACUGCUGUAAUCAUGCAUUACACAUGAGCCUUCUGGAAGGUUCCACUCUCUGUUUUCAGAGGAAAAUUUGCUAAGGUAUUAUUAUUUAUUUGCUUUUACUAAGGUAUUAUUAUUUGGUAUAUAUAUAUGUGCUUGAAUUAUUUAUAAACUUUUAUUUUGAUUCCGGGUUACAACAUAUCUUAAAUAUUUUCUUUUUUCUCUGUUUCUUUUUUCAAGUUUUCAAUUUCUGUUCUAGGGUAAUCUAGAUUCCAUAAGAUACCUCUGGAAAUGCAGAUAUGAUCUUGUUUUUUUUUUUUUGUAUUUUACCAUUCUAUAUAUUUUAUAUUAGUGUUGUUUAUUUUCUUAAAAUUGUCAUACAUAAUUAUAUAUGCUAUAUACUUGUUGAUAGGGAAGAAGAUAGAAGCUGGUUUUCGAGGACCAGGGCCUCCACAGAGAGAAGAAUAAGGGAGGGAACAAUUGUAUAUUCCAUUGAUUGAUGCUGUUAUUACAUAGUAUUAUUUAUACUGAUUUUUCAAUAAUCGAGUUUGUCUUUUUGUGCUACAGAAUAUCAGGAAAUGGUUAAGUUUGUCUACCCCUACAUGACCAGCAUCAUUCUUCCAGAUAGUACACCUGCUUGUUUCACACCUAAUCCUUGAGGUAAGUGGGCCUUGUAAUUGCUCUCUUGAUCUUGUUUUCUAAUUGCAUCCCCUGCUUCUGUUGCUUGCUUGCUGCAAGUUCCCACUGAUUCAAAUUCCAACAGUUCUGCAAAUAAAAUUGAAGAAGAAGCUAGAGGUGGGAAAUACUCAAGUCAUUCUCUUGAAAAAGUUGCUGCAAUGAUAUGCAACAAAAUAUCACUAUACGGAGUCAAGGUAAUUAUUGUGUUCACAUGAACAUUUCUCCCAUGAAAAUAUAUAUUUUCUGACUUUGUAAUCUCUUUAUAGUAUGCAUGGAAAAUGAAUUUUCUGAUUUUUUUUUUUCUCUGUAGUGUUAUAUAAUAUUUUUAAUCACAUUUUCUUAUUUAUUUAGUUUGUUUCUGAUUUGACAUUAUGUGAAUUUGGAGAUUCGGGUUAGAAAUGUUUUUGGAAUUUUCCUAGUUAGAACUUGAUAGGUCCAUAAUGAAGGUAUAUAAAAGGAUAGGGAAAAGAGGGGGUGGGGGAAUAGAAAAAGAAAGGACAAAUGGGCCUCGGAAACAAGACCUGCUUGUGUAUGAUAGCAGAAAGAAUCAGCCGUACAAGUUGCACUAGCUGAAGUGUAUAGUUGAAGUGUAGAAAGGAACAUAGGUUGACAUAAUGGAAUGGAUAACUUGUAAGGAGAGUGUAGAGGGAGACAAGAGAAUCAUGCCGGAUGAGAGGAGAGAGAGUCAGUAUUUUAAGGGGUAGAAACCAAAAAGAGGUUGAGACUAAGUUCUUCCUCGGGAAAGGGAGGGUGUUACAAACUGAACAUAAAUGCAGGAAAUUAAGAGCUGAUUUCGAGGCACCAGAACCUCCAGAGGAAGAAAAAGAGUAGAGAGGGGAGUAAUUUGCUAAUUUCAUCCAUAUUGUGCUGCUUAUUACAUGCUAUUGUAUUUAUACUGAUUUCUACAUAACAGAUUUUGUCCUUUUGUGCUAGAGGAAAUCAGAAAUCAUUUUUCUUGUCUCCCAUGCUUCCAGCACAGAUCAUUCAACAUCAUUCCUUAGGAUCACACGUAGUCCUUAAGGUAAGCAGGCUUUGAGAUCUUUCUUUUGGUAUUGACUGCUGCUUGCACCUCCUUUUCUGCUUGAUUUACACCCUUCUUUGCUGUAGACACCCCUAUAGUUGCUAUGUCUUGAUUCGCAUCUAUUUCUUUUGAAUACAUCCCUUUGUCUGCUAUGUUAUCACGCUUCCUUAUCACUCCCUGCCCCAUCAAAAACAUGUCCUCAUGGUGUUGGUUUUUCAAACUAUGGCAUCCAAAAACAAUACCGGGAUCCCAAGGUUUAUUCUGACGAACUGCACUAGGUGUGUCAAUGGGUAGUGAGUCAGGAGGAGCUUCAGGAAACCUAGCAAUAUGGAAGUGCGAAACACCCUCGUUGUGCCGACAGAGGUGACAGAACUGGUGUUGGGGAAGAAGACCCGGAGUGGUGGCGUUCUCACCCAGAAAUUCCACGAAGCGCCCGUGAUGAAAGAACAUCACGCGUAAUGGUGUUGGAGCGGUCCGGCAAGGUAAGCCCAGAGAGAUAGCUAGUUGAGGCUGGAGGAAGUUGUGGUUACUUCCCCCAUCAACAAGGAGGACCACACGAUUGUCGGAGAGAAGGCCGACGAGGUGCAAAAUUCUCGGUGCUAAAUCACCCGAUAAGGAGUUCGAACUAAUUUGGGCCAGUUCCGGGUCGGGUGUGGGGUUUGGGUCCGAGUCAGGUGUGGGUUUUGGGUCAGGUCCUUCGGAUACGGGUGUGGCUAGCUUCGGGUUAGGUUGCUCUAUAUUAGGACCCAAUGGGUAUGCGGUAGGGGUGGGUAGGCGGGCCACCCCACCCCGUGUAAGGCCCGCCCGCAUUGGAAGCGGAGCGGGCCAGUUCGCCCCGCUUCUUACACGGACCAAAUAAAUUGGUCCGCCCCCGCCCAUGGACCCCACGAGUCAAACGGGCCGAUCCACGGGCCUAAUUUUAAAAUAAUUUCAAUUUUAAUAAAAAUACAAUACAAUCAAAUUAAGUUCAAUAUAGAUGUAAAUAAAAUCUCAAUAAUUAGUCAAUUACAUCAAUAAAAUAAAUAAGGUCUUAACAAAAGAAAAUCCAAGCAAUAAAUCUAAAAUAUGAAAUUUAAACAUCUCUGACAACAAAUGAUUCCAUAUUUGAAGUAGCUUGAGCCUUCUCCAUCUCCACAUUUAAGAGUACAACAAAAAUGAAUCAGUCCCAACAAAAAUAGGAUAAAAACAAAUUCUAGAGAGAGAAGAGAUGUACUUUGCGUGGUGGCACGGUGGUGGGCCGAGGCUGUGUCGCUGUGGUGUGUCGCGUGACUGCGUGAGUAUGAGUCGCGUUUUGUUUUCCUUGUAAGGGAAAGAGUGUUAAAUAUGAUGUGAGCUAUUUUUUAUAAUAAAAAUAUAUUGAAAUAUCUUUAAAAAUAUUUAUUUAACAAUUAUUUUUUAGCUUAAAUGAUAAGAAUUGAUAUUUUUAUUAUUUAUGGCUUGCAAAUAUGAAAAUGAUAGAUUAAAAGAAAAAAAGAUCGAGAAAAUAUCAGAAAAGAAGAUUUUUAGCAUGUUAUCACUUAUCUUUUUUUAUCUUAAUAUUUUAUUUCUGUUAUCUUUUAUUUUUCUUAUCUUAUCUUUUUUAUCUUUACCAUCUUUUAAUUUAAAUCUUUUAUUUUUAUCUUUAAAUCUUUAUCUUAUAUAAUAUAUUUCUUUAUCUGUUAUUUUAAAAGAAAAGUUUAAAGUGAAAAGGAGAAAAUUAAACCUAAUAUAAUUGGGUCAGGGUCACACAAAUCAAACCUAAUGCGGGUUGCGGGCAACCCGUGGACCCCGCGGCCAAACCCGCAUAGUCCGUGGAUUAAGCGGGGCGGGCCAAAAAAUAUGACAUAACCAUGAACUGUUUUAAAAAAUUGGACCGUAACUCGCGCGGACCGCGUGCGCCGCGGGCCAGUCCAUGGACUUGGGCCCAUUUACCCACCCCUAGUCUACAAGUUCCUCAUCCUCUGCGAUUAAGAGAUGAACCCUAGAGGCACAUCAAUGGCCUCUAUGGAACUUCUCAUCGCAUGUGAAGCACAGCCCGUGCUCAUGGCGCGAGGCUAACUCCUCCGGGGUAUGACGCCUGACGGUCGGAGCCUAUGGCGGGGCAGGCAACAAAGGGGGCAAAGGCGUCAUACGAGGGGGAACCAAAGGGGCUGGCGGUGGAGCUACCAACGGUGGGGUCGCGGCCGCGGUGGAGGCAGACGAAGGUCUGAUAGCUUCUGCUCCUGGAUCUUCGCAAGGCCGGCGGCCUGGUCCACAGUCAUAGGCUGGUGGACUUGGACUGUGCGGCAGAUCUUCAAUGUCAAACUCGAGAUGAAGCAAGGCAACAGGAAGGGGGCCGACAAGCCGAUAAUUCUAUUAGUCAAGUCUUCGAACUCCUUCAGGUAUGUUAGCACUGAACCCGUCUGAGUGAGUUUGAACAAGGCAUUGGCAGGAUCCUCAUACGGUGAUGGGGCAUAUCGGAUUUGUGCAGGAACAGAGGUGGAGUGGCGAGGGACUGGUGUGGGGUUGGGCGUGGUGGAGGAAGGCACAAGAGCAAGGUGGUUGAGAAGCUUGUCCAUGUUGAGGGUCAUAGAGUGCAUGGUAUUGUCAAGACGAACAAGGGCCUCGUCGAGGUUGCAGGAGGCCAUGAGGACAAACGAGAGCACCAAUUGUUACGAACUAAACAUAAAUGCAGGAAAUUAAGAGUUGGCUUUGAGGCACCUGAACCUCCAGAGGAAGAAGAAGAGCAGAGAUGGGAGUAAUUUGCUAAUUUCAUUCAUAUUGUGCUGCUUAUUACAUGCUAUUGUAUUUAUAUUGAUUUCUACAUAACAGAUUUUGUCCUUUUGUGCUAGAGGAAAUCAGAAAUCGUUAUUCUUGUCUCCCUUGCUUCUAGCACAGAUCAUUCAGCAUCAUUCCUUAGGAUCACACGUAGUCCUUAAGGUAAGCAGGCUUCGAGAUCUUUCUUUUGGUAUUAACUACUGGUUGCACCUCCUUUUCUGCUUGAUUUGCACCCUUCUUAGCUAUAGACACCCCUGUAGUUGCUAUGUCUUGAUUCACAUCUAUUUUUUCUGCAUCCCUUUGUAUGCUAUGCUAUCACUCUUCCCUAUCAGAGGGGGUCUCUGGUUUUGUUUUUCCUAAUUACCAUUAUGUAAGAUCUAGCUUGUAUCCACCUUAUUCUUAUUAUUAUUAUUAUUAUUAUUAUUAUUAUUAUCAUUAUUAUUACAACUUUUUCACAAUAUUCUUUACUAUAUUAGCAUCCAGGCCAACCUGAUAAGUCACGCACCACCAUAAUAAUAAUAUUUAACUUUUUUUUUAUUUUUUAAAAGAAAAAUUAAUUCCUUUAUUUUUUAAAAUAUUAUUUUUAUAUUAAAAUAUAUUUAGUAAAACAGUAAUAUUACAAAAUUAAUUUAUUUUUAAUGUAAAAAUAAUAUUUAAAAAAUAAAGGAAUUAAUUUUUCUUUUAAAAAAAUUAAAUUUUUAUUUAAAAAGUUAAAUUAAUAAAUGAAUUUUUGUUUAUAUUAUUUUUUAAAAAAUGUAUAGAAACUAAUUAUAUAUAUAUUUUUUAACAAUUUAUUUAUACUAGAAUACAUUACAUCAUAAAUAAAAUACAUGAACAAUAAUAUUUAUCUGAGAAAAAAUUGAAGAUGAAGAUAUAUUGAGAUAAUUUUUUCUGUUAUGUCUUUAUUAUCGAAAAUUUUCACAUUUUUUUUCUAGUAUGAAUACCAUAGUUGUUAGGUAAAAAAACUAUGGUAGGUUGUAACAUGCCUCCAUUCCAAGGAUUAAUAAUCAAAUGAGGUUGAUAAUGGGAAUGAUUCAUGUGUUAGUUGUUUAUGCUUUCAUUAUUUUCAUGUUUCAAUUAUUAUUGUUAGUCCAUUCUGCUAUUUUUGCUUUAUUAUAUGUUUCAUUUAUGAUGUUUGUCUCUUUAAUUUUUAGUAUUUUAUGUUAUUUGAGUAUUUUAAUUUUUUAAUAUAACAUAAUUAAGAUGUGAUAAUCAUAUAUUUAUUGGGUUUUUAAUCCAUCUAUUUUUUUAAUCACUUUGUUUUUUAAAUUUAUUUUAAGAUUAUUAAUUAAUUAUUUUCAAACUAUUAAUAAAUAAUUAAACAAAAAUAUUCUCAUUAUUUAAAAAACAAAAUAAUAAUAUUAAAAAUUUUAAUUAUUUUUUAUCUGAAAAUAAUAUUUAAAAGACAAGUAAAUUAUUUUAAAAAAUAUAUAAAAAAAAGAAUUUAAUAUUUUUUUUAAAUGAAAAAAUAAUAGGAGCAAAGAGAAGUUGUGUUCCCUAACCCCGACUUCUCUCUGCAAGCUAAAAAGGAGUGUUGUUUAGGAAACAAUUUUGAGGCAGGUGUAUUUUGGAAGAAAUGAGGAGAGAGCAAGUGUAGUGGAGUAAAAAAAUCCUGUAAGGUUUUGUUUGGUAGUAAAAAGAAAAAAAUAAUUGUGAUGAGAAAAAAUAAGUUAGAGGAUAAAUAUCUUCAACACUUAAACAAACAAAUAAAAAAGUUUUUCUAAGAAGUUCACUUAAAUCUAUUUUAACUAUUGAUAAAAAUUUAUACCUGUUGAUUUAAAAUAAAAUUAUAUUUAUUAAAUAUGAUAGGAGAAAAAAUAUUUUUUAUAUAUAGUAAAAUAUUUUCAUUUGCUGGACUUAAAUUUUCUUUAUCUCUCAUUUUACUAUUGUUGUUUGAGAUGAUCUCACUAAAUAUAUUUUACUUGACUAAUAAUAAAAAUUUUAUAUAGAUAAGAUUCAAAGGAUAAUCACUAACCAAGAAAUUUUAUGGAAGUAUUUAUCAAAUAAUUACAAUAGAUAUAUAACAUAAAAAAAGAGUUGAAUUGAAUAAUAAUUUUUCAUGUCAUCAUUUCAAAAGAAUUACUUUAAUCACUCUCUUUAUAUUAUUAUUAUUAUUAUUAUUAUUAUUAUUAUUAUAACAUCUUCACAAUAUUCUUUAUUUUAUUAGUAUCUAUUAUUUAUUUUAUUGAUUUUAUUUUAUAAAAAAUCACACACUUUUCUUUUUGCACACAUCUUUAACGUACAUAUAAGGAUAUUCAAAUCUUGACUUCAUUAAUAUUAUAUUUUUAGGGAUUAAUUAGCAUGUGUCUUUUCUUUAAUUCUUUCUCUUUUAAUUUGUUCAACAUUUUUUUUGUCUUAAUAAUUUUUUAAUCUCAUUUUUUUAUUUUCCUCGUAACAAAAUUUAUUCUAUAUGUAAGAAUUAAUAAAGAUUUAAAUCUUUUAUCACUUUAUUAAAAAACAUAAAUUACUAUCAAUUAUUUUAACUUUUUAUAAAAUCAUGAUUCAGUAUUAGAUCUUUAUACAAUAACAUAUCUCUAUGAUAACUUUCUUUAAUGAUCUGUGUUUGAUUAUAAAAAAUUAGGUUAAAAUAUAAACUAACACGAACUUAAGUAAAUAUUUGACUAUUUACUUUCACAUUGAAAAAUUGAUUUUAAAUUUUAACUUUAGAAAGAAAUUCUAAGUUGAGCAUCUUUACAUAACUUUUGGAUUUAACAAAAAAAUUCAUUUUCAAUUUUACUAUUAACUUAAUUUUUAAAUAAAAAUAUCCAAAACACAUGUACAAAUUGCUUCAAUACAUCUUGUCUCACAGCAUUAAAGCACAGGAACUUAAUUACGCGCACAGUACCCUUGCAGCCAUCCACACAUAUCACCAAGAAAAAAACACACACCACUGCUCCACACGAUUUGGAAAGCGAGAAAGCUGGCACUAACUUUAAUUAAAGCAUUUUAGAAAUAUAAUCCAUUUUUUUAAAUUAACCGUAGAAAUAUCGUCACUCUUUAAAUCUCUUGAGUCUUUAGUUUAGAGAAGCAAAAUUCAAAAUAGAAAUAUCAAGAAAGAAACAUGUGGGGAACAGGAAAGAGACUCCCAACAUGAUAAGUCACCCACCACCAUAAUAAUACAAAUAAAAAAGACCAUACUUUUGUCUUGCACAGCAGAACGAGUGAAGGUGAAGAGAGUUGAAUUAAGCCAAAUCUCAUCACAUCAGUUAACCUUACCAAGAACCAACCCAGUUCAUAGCAACCAAUUCCCUUGCCUUUGUCUUUCUACUCUGGUCAUCUNNNNNNNNNNNNNNNNNNNNNNNNNNNNNNNNNNNNNNNNNNNNNNNNNNNNNNNNNNNNNNNNNNNNNNNNNNNNNNNNNNNNNNNNNNNNNNNNNNNNNNNNNNNNNNNNNNNNNNNNNNNNNNNNNNNNNNNNNNNNNNNNNNNNNNNNNNNNNNNNNNNNNNNNNNNNNNNNNNNNNNNNNNNNNNNNNNNNNNNNNNNNNNNNNNNNNNNNNNNNNNNNNNNNNNNNNNNNNNNNNNNNNNNNNNNNNNNNNNNNNNNNNNNNNNNNNNNNNNNNNNNNNNNNNNNNNNNNNNNNNNNNNNNNNNNNNNNNNNNNNNNNNNNNNNNNNNNNNNNNNNNNNNNNNNNNNNNNNNNNNNNNNNNNNNNNNNNNNNNNNNNNNNNNNNNNNNNNNNNNNNNNNNNNNNNNNNNNNNNNNNNNNNNNNNNNNNNNNNNNNNNNNNNNNNNNNNNNNNNNNNNNNNNNNNNNNNNNNNNNNNNNNNNNNNNNNNNNNNNNNNNNNNNNNNNNNNNNNNNNNNNNNNNNNNNNNNNNNNNNNNNNNNNNNNNNNNNNNNNNNNNNNNNNNNNNNNNNNNNNNNNNNNNNNNNNNNNNNNNNNNNNNNNNNNNNNNNNNNNNNNNNNNNNNNNNNNNNNNNNNNNNNNNNNNNNNNNNNNNNNNNNNNNNNNNNNNNNNNNNNNNNNNNNNNNNNNNNNNNNNNNNNNNNNNNNNNNNNNNNNNNNNNNNNNAGCCUUGUAUAUUGAAUGAUCUGAAUCUACUUCAUCUUGAAUUGAUGGACAAGCUGAAAGAUAAAAAAUUCUUAAUUGUCUUGGAUGAUGUUUGGACAGAGAAUUAUGUUAACUGGAGACUUCUUAAGAAACCAUUUAACCGUGGGAUUAGGAGAAGUAAGAUUCUUCUAACAACCCGCAGUGAAAAAACAGCCUCUAUAGUCCAAACUGUUCACACCUAUCAUCUAAACCAAUUGUCGAAUGAAGAUUGUUGGUCAGUGUUUGCGAACCAUGCGUGUCUUUCCUCCGAAUCGAACGGGAACACAACACUAGAAAAAAUUGGAAAGGAGAUUGUUAAAAAGUGCAACGGACUGCCUUUAGCAGCACAGUCGCUUGGAGGCAUGUUGAGAAGAAAGCAUGACAUCGUGGAUUGGAAUAAUAUUCUCAAUAGUGACAUUUGGGAACUUUCUGAAAGUGAGUGUGAAGUUAUUCCAGCACUGAGACUUAGUUAUCAUUAUCUCCCUCCACAUUUAAAACGGUGCUUUGUUUAUUGUUCGUUGUAUCCACAAGAUUACGAAUUUGAAAAAAAUGAAUUAAUCUUGUUGUGGAUGGCCGAAGAUCUUUUGAAGAAAUCAAGCAAAGGUAGGACUUUAGAAGAGGUUGGUCAUGAGUAUUUUGAUGAUUUGGUUUCGAGAUCAUUUUUCCAACGUUCAAGUACAAGUAGUUGGCCUCAUCGCAAAUGUUUUGUGAUGCAUGACCUCAUGCAUGAUCUAGCCACAUCACUCGGUGGAGAUUUUUACUUUAGAUCAGAAGAACUUGGGAAAGAAACAAAGAUCAAGACCAAGACUCGUCAUUUGUCAUUUACGAAAUUCAAUUCUUCUGUCUUGGACAACUUUGAUGUUGUUGGUAGAGCAAAAUUUCUGAGAACUUUCUUGUCCAUCAUCAAUUAUAAAGCUGCUCCAUUACACAAUGAGGAGGCACAAUGUAUCAUAGUGUCGAAGCUUAUGUACUUGAGAGUUUUAUCAUUUUGUGACUUCCAAAGUUUGUAUUCUUUGCCUGAUUCAAUAGGUAAAUUGAUCCAUCUGCGCUAUUUAGAUCUUUCUCAUUCAAGUGUAGAAACACUGCCAAAGUCAUUGUGUAAUUUAUACAAUCUGCAAACUUUGAAGUUGUCUAAUUGCAGAAAACUGACUAAGUUGCCUAGUGACAUGUGCAAUCUUUUUAACUUGGGUCAUCUUGAGAUAUUUCAAACUCCCAUAAAAGAGAUGCCGAGAGGAAUGAGUAAAUUAAAUCAUUUACAACAUCUGGAUUUCUUUGUUGUGGGCAAGCAUGAAGAGAAUGGAAUCAAAGAAUUGGGAGGACUUUCAAAUCUUCGUGGUCAACUUGAAAUUAGGAACUUGGAGAAUGUUUCCCAAAGUGAUGAAGCGUUGGAGGCAAGGAUAAUUGAUAAAAAACACAUUAAUGAUUUAUGGUUGGAAUGGUCUGGAUGUAACAACAACAGUACCAACUUCCAACUUGAAAUAGAUGUGCUUUGCAAGUUACAGCCUCACUUUAACAUUGAAUCGUUGCAAAUAGAAGGCUAUAAAGGAACCAGAUUUCCAGAUUGGAUGGGAAAUUCUUCCUACUGCAAUAUGACACGUCUAACCUUAAGUGAUUGUGACAACUGUAGUAUGCUUCCUUCACUUGGGCAACUACCUUCUCUCAAGGUCCUUGAAAUUUCAGGAUUGAAUAGGCUGAAGACUAUUGAUGCAGGUUUUUACAAGAAUGAAGAUUGUCGUUCUGGGACGCCCUUUCCCUCCCUUGAAUCUCUGGUCAUUUUUGAAAUGCCUUGUUGGGAGGUGUGGAGUUCCUUCGAUUCAGAAGCUUUUCCUGUGCUUAAAAGACUUUACAUAAGUGGCUGCCCCAAACUAGAGGGAAGUUUGCCGAAUCACCUUCCUGCUCUGACAAAACUUGUGAUUAGAAAUUGCGAGCUGCUUGUCUCUUCUCUCCCAACGGGUCCCGCCAUUCGAAUUUUGGAGAUAAGUAAAAGCAAUAAAGUAGCACUGAAUGUGUUUCCUCUCUUGGUAGAGACUAUAGAAGUAGAAGGAAGCCCAAUGGUGGAGUCCAUGAUAGAGGCCAUCACUAACAUCCAACCAACAUGUCUCCGGUCUUUAACAUUAAGGGAUUGCUCGUCAGCCGUGUCAUUUUCGGGUGGUCGUUUACCUGAAUCACUGAAGAGUCUGAGUAUCAAGGAUCUUAAAAAACUGGAAUUCCCUACGCAACACAAACAUGAGUUACUGGAAACACUGUCAAUAGAAAGCAGUUGUGAUUCACUCACAUCUCUUCCAUUGGUUACCUUUCCAAAUCUCAG